RNAcentral lists this long non-coding RNA (61929 nucleotides) under Physcomitrium patens. Its description in RNAcentral is "long non-coding RNA (PPAT_LNC005582)". Lineage: Eukaryota; Viridiplantae; Streptophyta; Bryopsida; Funariales; Funariaceae. The record is from RNAcentral.
CAAUAUAAAACAUAACCUCAUAUUGAAAACAGCUAAAACUUUGCGCAGUAAGAGUGGAUUCGGGUAUUCUGUUAUUCCGUUGACCUUUCCGAAAAGCUUGAUUAGUUAACCGCGUAAGGAGCUGAAUAACUCCCUACUCGAUUCUGAUCAAGUUGUCAAGGAGUCUAGGCUGCUAGAACAAUAACAUAUUGAAUACGAAAAGUCCAAAGGAAACCCCUGUGGCACUAAUGCCUGCACUCCGUAGAUUACUGCCAACAACCAAGGCGCAAUAUCCCACAAGAAUCAAACCUCGUGAAUCGGUUCUCGCCUGAGAUCAUCCUAAAGUAGUUUGGCUCUAGAUGCAACCAACCCUCUUGCAAGCCCCGACUACUUCAGGCAAUCCGAUCCGCAAUUUUUUGAACGAAGUGCAAGAACGAGUCGAAGUAGAUUCGCAGGUCAUGCAGUGGUGCAUUACAAAACACUAUAAUAUGUGUACAUCGAAUAGUAACAGAUUUCUACGGAUUGAAUCAUGCAUUCAAAUCGCUUCCCAUGAGGGGCUAAAGUAACAUUGCAAGCACAUAAGUUCUUCCUGAACCAUUGAAUGCACCUGAUUUCGAGCUAGAGUCCACCUCCUGCUCAGCCUCAGCCACAGACCAACCCCCCAAUUCUUCAUUCAAAGAAUCACCAUCGGAACGCAAUUUGGAUUCCCGCUUCUCUUCGACAAGCGGCCUGUGACCCUCGCCUUCCUCCGCACUACACCGGACAGAAGACAGUCUCAACUGCAAACUCGGCACUGCCACGCGAGCUGUCGAUGACAGUCGUCCCCGUCCAAACCCUAACGCAGGGCGCUGCACCAAACACGAUGAAGCAGGCAACGGGCGCACUGCAACAAAUGCCAUCACUUCAACCCCCCGCACAAACACUGACAAAUCCAACACCAAUAUCAAUUCAAUCGCAGCAAAGGAAUUGGACGCCUAGAUCAUCUCCUGCCCACCCUCGCGAUGUCCGAUCUCAUGGUGCCAGGGAACAAUUCUCAACACUGGAAGCAUCUCAUCUCCUGGCCCUGAUGCGAGCGAGGUAUUGAUCAGCUUCACAAUGGGCGGCGAAAGCCCAGUCCGGCCCCGGUUCUCUUCUCAUGCCCAUCUGGCACCCAGCUGGCCGCCAAAAUUGACCCAGGUGGCAGGGUUUGAAGGGGUCGGAAUUAUGCCACGUAGGAGCGUUGUUUCAGAAGGGGUUUUGGUCACAUUCAGAAAACAUGACGCACUUCAUUUUUAUGAGCAGGAAGAAUGUGAUGGAUUUGAGUAGUUGAAUCCCUCGCGAUGCAAUGUUUAGUGAUCUGUUUUGUUUGUAACUAAUAAACUUGCAGAUAAAGGGAAGCUUUCUGAUGAGUAUCUUGUUGGCCCUUGUAGUGUACGACCUGUAUAAUUAAUACAGGCUUUUAGAGCAAACCAAUCUGCUUCUAAAUGUCGGUAUGGUGUCUCCGAGGAAAUCGUCUUCGAUGGUUUACAUGCACAUCGACGGGAUUCAUUGGUUACUGCGUGUGAAAACAGCGUCCAGAUGAUGUCUGAGCUCACGAUGCUCACGAACAGAACCUCAAUAAGGACGACACACUUGGUGGCAAUUUUCAAUAACAACGUUUUUUUGUGAGCGUUGCUGUGCAAAACAGCAGAAGAUCGUGCCCAGUAGGAUACUGUGCAUCGAAAGGCGGAGGCAGUAAGUGAAUCGAGAGGUAAAAGAAUCUUGCUCAAGGUUUUCAAGAAUCUACACAUAUUUGAUUCACUCAAGUAUCGGACAGCUUGAAGAAAUGUCAAUCACAAAAGUUAUGGCAUCGAAAGCGAUUCGCUUGGGGCAGUUGCUUUCUGUCAUCCCCUGUUGCUAAAUGGAUUCUACAGGUUUGGAUUCCGCUGAUACUCAUGUUUUGGUUCCACGAUAUUGACUUAAAUGCACAAUUGCUGCACAGGCACCUGAAACUGAAUUAAAGCGAAUCGCGAUGUAUUUUUAAAGGCAGCAAGAUUGUUCUUGUAUUCUGGAGUAUAGCCAACAUAUACAUCUGGGAGGAGAAAUUUGUAAGUCAGAAGGUAGCAUCAAACAGAAUCCGCUACCCACGACCGAACCGAAAAUAGACAAACGCUCAUGCAGAUAUGUUUUGCGCAUGGAAAGAGCAGGCGAAAUCAUUCAAAGCCUCCGUACUCGCGCUAUGGAAUGUUGCAUUUUAGUUGAGAAAACUCGACUCUCAACCUCGGUCUCUUGAUCGCCGUAGUUUGAUUGUACAACUGCGCGAAACAGUCAAGUUUGCAGUCGUCGACGAGGAAUUGAAAGCGGAGAGGCACAACACGAUGGAACCAGAUAUGACCUGUGACUGACUCAAACAUUGCCGGGUGUUUGUACAAGUCCGGUCAUAAGUAGUUUCUCCGGGUAUGUGGAAACUUGCAUGGAAUCGCCGCAUUUUUGGAUUCCAAUUUAGCGUGAGUUGCGUUCACACGUACGUGUGUGUGCGUCUCUCGGUGCGGAACAUGCUCGGCCAGAUGCCUUGGCCGAUGCUCCCGGCGAUGCUCUUCGUCCUCGCCGCACAUGCUUUCUUCGAUACCUGGAUGCGAUUUUCCUUUUUGCAGCCGGAGCCAACCUCGGCCACUAACUUUCUUGCCGCCUGGUUCUUUUCUCGUCGAUUUCAGUCACGUCAUUCGUUAAGGCCUUCGGAACUGCUGGAGUUUCCGCGAUCACCAAACUCAUUUCGUCGAUUUAAUUAUUAAGUAGACUCGAGGCCUUCGUUGCAUCCAGCUGACGCGCGUCGCGAGCAACGUGUCGUCUUGCUUCCGACGUCUCGCUGUUGCGUUCUGGGGAAGUUGGUGCUCAUAGUUCGGGCACCUGGUUAUAAUUUGGUAAAUUAGAGUCUUACUCAAGCUUUGUGUUGGAGAGUUUAGGGUUUGCGGUCGUUGGUUCUGGCUCUGGCUGAAGAAUUGGGUGCAUUUGCUUUAGGUCUAAUUGGAUAUUGGUUUCUGGUUGAAUGGUACCGGCAGUACUUUGUACCUGGCAAUGCUCGUAGCCUUGGGUAGUUCUUCUGGCUAACUUUCAGCUCUAGUUGUAGGAAUCAUAUUGGCAGAGCUACUUCCACUGUUUUUGAUUGCUUUGAGUUACAAAUAUUGUUGUGAAGGUUGAAUCUCUCAAGUGAACUCUUAUAUUUGCGUUCGUAGUUCUUCAAAUUCCCGUGAAAGUAGCUCAGACCACUAUCUACUAGUUUUUAUUCACUAGGAAAAUGAGUAGGAGUACUGUUUGCUACUGCGCGGUUCAAUACAACCAAUAGUUUUUUAACGGUGAAGGUGUUCCUCACUUAGGGUUUCGAGAUUUUACUGGAGGUCAGUUUGAACUUUGGAGCACUGAACUAGCCGUUUUGCAGGGGACGUGGUUUCUUCGUUGACAAGGUGUUCAUUUGAUCUUGGAACUGUCAGGACGAUUUUAUUUCUGCUGCCAAAAUAGCGGUGCGUUGUUUUGUACCAAGUACUCUUUUCACAUGUUUAUGACCGUUGUAGUUGAGCUCUUUCCAAAAAAGAAAUGAAAAGCAAAGAAAAGAAACAUGAAAGUUCUCCUACGCACUCAAUUCAUAUUUCAUCAAAGAUGAGAUUGUGCGUCCAGCAGUGUUCGGAAUAUGUGCGUGUAGUUGAUGUUUAGCAUGAAUGUCAAGUCUGGCGAACCCUCACUUUUCCAAAGCUUUGCGGGAAUGAAGACUUCUAAUUUUGUCCGACCUCAAAAUUCAUGUAGUGGUUGAAACCACAAUUUUGUUCUCUUCGUUCUCUUUGUAUUUUAAAGUAUGAUUCUUAAUCGGUAGAUUUGCGGUUUGAAUUGUAUUUUGGAUUUCUACGUGCGCUGUUGGCUGACGGUAAUUUGAGCUUGCUAGUUCUUUCUGAAGCACGCAUUUAUUUUUAAGAGCAAUCAGAAGAUGGGACAACAAUGCUUUUUAUCCAAGAUUGGCAUUGUGGUCAACACAAUAAUUUAGUCAUCUGGUAUGCUAAAUGUUGAUGUUAAUGGUCCUUCACAUAGCCAACACCUUGUCCUCAUAUUACCUGUGUUCCUGGUAUUGCAGGAAAAUCCGUACAAUGUCGUCUCAGUUGUAGAUCAUGGGAUAUAGUCACGGAGGAACUUUAUAUGAUCAUCUAAAUGCUGCUACUACUUUCUUGGAGGCCGCAACAGCAUCACCUGCUGGGCAAAGUAGCAUAUUCUAAAAGGUCCAUGAGAACAUGCGAUUGGCUAUUAGUACUUGCUUGUUCUACAGGAGGAGAAGUCGACGACGACGAGUGCAGGUGUGAAUUAUCAGCAUUCAGAACAUUGGAACAUUUUUAAAAAUUCGACUUUAUUUCAGAGAAAGACCUGCUGCUUGUGACGAUGAUCCCACUGGUUGUGCACGUCAUGAGUCUUUGACUUAGCAAAGAUUGGUUGGGUUAUUAGCAUAUUAGUGGUGAAAGUGGGAGAACAUGGACGUUAUUAGCGUUUUAUCUCCUGGUUCAAGCCUAAAGCAUACUCCACCGAAAAAAUUGGGAGGUGGGAACUGCAACGAUAUAUGGGCUGCGGUACGAAAUGGCUCGGUGCAGGAUGUGGAACUGGCUUUAGCGUCUAUGAAAAAAUGCAAUGGGAAUGUUGAUGCUAGAAGUGUAUUUGGCUCUACUGCGCUACACAUCGCAGUCUGGCGAAACCACAUACCAAUUGUCCGACGUCUGCUUGCAGCUGGUGCUAAUCCUGACGCUAGGGUGAGUUUCAGAGCUACCCCGCGUCUUAUGGAUAGAAUUUAUCUUCGCCAACCUUAAAAAUAUUUUCACUUUAUAAUGUCCAAAGUUUUCAACAGAAUCACUUUGUCCUGUUGGGGUGCUUCUUCCCACUUUCCCCACCAAAAGGACGGCUUAUCUUUUGUGGAGUCAUGCUCCGUUUAUCUGACCCCAAGUUUGGAAGUUUUACUCUAUUGCUGCGAUGGGCUCUACUUGUUCUAUGUUCCACCUGGACGCUGUCAUGUCCCUAAAACCAUGAUACUGCUACUACAAUCGAUUGUGGUAUGAACAAACCCCCUGUCGAAGCUUGAAAGUUGUCAUUUGGCUCGAGCAGGAUGGCGAGUCCGGAUGGAGCAGCUUGCACAGGGCUUUUCAUUUUGGGCAUCUGACGGUUGCUGGUGUGCUUUUGCAAGCGGGUGCUUCUUUAACGAUUGAGGAUACAAAAGGGCGAAUACCUAUUGACCUCAUAUCUGGCCCUGUUAAGAGUGUCAUUUCCAACUCAGGUGCAGCAUUUGCAAACAUUAUGUCCAGUUCCCGAAGCCUUGAAUUUGCGGUUCAUUUAUAAAUUUUUCUACUCUAAACUUGUGGAGAAAGCGGACCAUAUCUGGAAAGAUCUCGUUCUAUUAAUUUUGAUUGUUAUUUGGCUGAGUCAUUCGUCACGAUGCCUUCGAUGCAUAAGUUAGGUUGUUCUAAAUUGUGUCUUUCAGUAGAACCAGGCUGUGAGAUUGCUGUCCCUUGCAAUAUUGCAGUGUCAGCGAUUAACUGUACAUGAAACUCUCAGUGCCCAACUUGCUACGCCUAUUCGGAGCAGCUUGCAUCAUCUUGGGUAGUAUUUGUUGCAUCUGUUUACAGAAAUCUUUUUUACGAUCCAGUUAUUUAUCCUAUGGACGUUUGUUUUUGUCUGCAGUUAUGACUGAGGUAUACAGUUGGGGUAAUGGUGCAAAUUAUCAGCUGGGAACAGGAACUGCUGGUAUUCAGAGAAUACCGUGCCGAUUGGACACUUUGCAAAACCUUGACAUCACAUACGUUGCAGCAGCUAAAUUCCAUAGUGCAGCUGUUACCGCAAAUGGUGACAUGUAUACUUGGGGCUUCGGGCGUGGUGGUCGACUUGGGCAUCCUGAUUUUGAUAUCCACAGGUUCGCGUCUUGCUUUUUGUGAUAUUUGGUAGGUAUGCCAGGAUUUGCAUGUUUGGUUGCGUUUCUUGAUUGUUUACUUCAGAUCUUUGUUGGGGUUAAUCAUAUUUCUCUUGAGAUGCAGUGGACAAGUUGCGGUUAUUAUUCCUCGACAAGUCACCAGUGGGCUUGCUGGUAAGAAGGUGAAUUCAAUUGCUGUGGCUAAACAUCACAGUGUCAUUUCUACGGAUGGAGGAGAAGUCUACACCUGGGGUUCUAAUCGAGGUUGGUUUCUCUAUAUUUCUUGCCCACCUUGAAGCAUCAUGAAACAAAUUCUGGAUGUUAGUGAACGUGCUUCUUUCAAGUAUUAUCUAGAAGUGAGCUCUCUUUGUCAUGAUAAAAAUGGCACUUGUAUUGUAUUGGCUUUCAGAUGGUCGCCUAGGUUAUCCGUCCGUGGAUACACAAGCUACUCCACGCAAAGUUGGUACUCUCAAGGUUCGUGUGUCAAUAGUGGCAGCAGCAAACAAGCACAGUGCUGUUCUGACACAAUGCGGGGACGUCUAUACUUGGGGUUGUAACAGUGAAGGGCAGUUGGGUUAUGGUACCUCUAAUUCUGCAUCCAAUUGCAUGCCUCGGUGGAUUGAUUAUCUGAAGGGUAGAAAAUUAGUGACUAUUUCUACUGCAAAAUACCAUACUGUAGUCCUUGAAGAGUCUAAACGGGAGGACGGGGAGUUCGAGCACAAGGUAAACUUUGCACGUGGUUUAAUUGUUGUCAGUAAGCAAUGUAGGAUAUUAAAUUAGUACCUAUUUUAAGUUGUCCAAUUCUUAUUACCACCAGUUACGUGUUCUAUUCCUAGAUAGCAUUCGAAUGUGGUUGGAUGUAUCAGUGCAUCAGCUCCUUAAUCAUCGUCCCUUCUCUUUAGUGGUCAUCAUGAAUCUAAGUCGCCCUACCCUUUUUAUAUUUUAAAAAUUAAUUUCUGUCUGCUUUUUGAUGUUACAAGCGGCAUUGGAUUAUGAAGUGUUAGUCGAUUUUGCUCAUUUGUGGAUGGUUUUUUUUCAGGUUCUGACUUGGGGCUAUAAGAUGGUGACUCCUCGCCGUGUGAUUAUUGCUCGAGAUAUUAAGAAGAGAGGAUCCUGUCCAUUGAAGUUUCAUAAAAAGGGUCGUAGAGAUCAGGUGGUUGCUAUUGCUGCAGGCAUGACUCAUAGCACAAUAGUCGCAGAGGAUGGUCUAAUCUUCUAUUGGGUAUCUGCUGAUCCAAAUCUGCGGACUCACCAGGUAAAACCUGAGUGUUAAUGAAGGUUUACGCUCGUGUAAUUUAUAAAUGUUUGUUUUUCGGUUCUCAGCAAUUCUUGUCCUUGUAGACUAUCUAUUUCUAUCUUUUUUUAUGUGGAGACCUUCAAAUGAUGAAUUUCUUAACGGUUUGCAGAUCUUAAUUUGAGAUGUGCUUGCUGUAGUGGUCUUCUGGUGUUCCUAACCAGAUUUCAACUUCCCAGUUCUGAGUACAGAGGUUGUAUAUAUACUUAUUGCGAGCCACUAUCCUGCUUCUUUUUCUGACUGUUACAUUUGUGAGCAGCUCUCUUCUAUGGCAGGCCACCAAGUUGUGGCCGUUGCAGCUGGCAAGUACCGAACUGCAGUAACAACAAGCACUGGGAAUGUCUAUGUCUGGGAUGGUGAAGGAAGCAAGGCAAAUGUUCAUCCAUCUCCUGUUCGUGUUCAUGGUGCAAAGCACAUUACAGGAUUGUCUGUUGGAGAAACUCACUCACUCGCUGUUGCUGCACUGUAUGCCCCUACUUACUCCACGAAGCCGCCCAAUGAGGUGCUUGGAGAUUCUAAGACGAUUGGAGAAGGUGAGGAAUCUGCUGGUGAAGACCCUGAAAUGGAGGAAGAAUCUAGGACACUUGGGCCUGUCGUUCCGAAAAGCGUGGAUGAAGGGGUACCUAGUCUGAAGGAUUUGUGUCAAAAAGUUGUCACCGAGUCGAUUGUUGAACCCAAGAAUGCUCUUCAGAUUCUUGAAUUCGCAGAUUCUAUAGGUGCAGAUCAUUUGAGGCGAUACUGUGAGGUGAAUUUCCUCUCUUCGGCAAUCUCUUUCAAGUUCAAGUCUUCCAUUAUCACUUUAUAACAGUCACCUGUGGAUAACGGUUAGGAUUGCAUGUACGAUUUGUGAGGAUUUUUUUCACUUCUGCUGCGCAAAUAAUUUCCGUUUACGACAAGCAAAACUUUGCGCGUACAUUAGGCACGUAACCUGUGGUACAUUUAUGAUGCACCGCAGUGGUGUGGACUUGUAUUUUUUCUUAUUUGUCGUCAUUCUGACUAACUUACUUGGGGUUUGCAGGACCUAGUACUUCGUAAUCUGGAUUACAUUCUCACCAUCUCUCCCUCGAUAUUUGCACAACUACCAUCUGCCCUCUUGGCCGAGUUAGAAAAAGCUCUCGACUCUAAUUCGGGUGAGUCGUGGAGUUACAGAUUACUACCAACGCCUAGUGCAACCCUACCGGUUGUUAUAGACAGUGAAGAAGAGGAUGGUGAUGUUGGUGAUUUACGGACACGCAAUUUUCGGGUUGGAAGUAUGGAGCAAGACAUCCUGGUAGAGAACACGUCUAAUGAAGGUUUCUUGACUCCUAGGAACGUUGGAGGGGAGGAUGUAGUUGGUAAACAUAUACGGGCUGUGCGGAAGAAGCUUCAACAAAUCGAGGCACUUGAGUUGAAACAGUUCAAGGGUCAUGAUCUAGAUAGUCAGCAGUUGGCUAAGCUUCAAACAAAGCAUGAGUUAGAAAUUUCACUGUCAUUGCUCGAGUCUGGAGUAAUACCGCCAUUGUUAGCAGUAUCUAAGGCAAAUAGUAGUCCUAUCGAGAAGGAGAUUAAGGGUUCUCCAGGUCAUACAGAAAAUACAAGUGCCUCCAAACCUGGUGGUCGCACUGGACGAAGAAAAGGCAAAGUUUCAGGAGGACAUGCGCAGAGUGUCUAUCGACCUACCUCUGUUAAAUCCACGGAUUCAAAUAUUGCUGAAGACUUCGAUCUUCAGGUAAUUCUACUUUCAUAUUUAAGCAUGUUAUUAUUAGAAAAGGUGGUUCCUUUUUCUGGUAUUUCAAAUGACGAUCUUCAGGACUGCCGUAAUUUGGAAUUUUGAUGAGAUAUUUAUCUUUCGAUUUAUGCAGGAAGCUCUUGAACAGAUUGCUGUGCUGGAGAGCACAGGAGAACCAAGUAACUCCUCUCCUUCUGUACCCUCUAUCUCUCAGAAUGAGCCUCAGGUUCCUCAGAACACCCCUUCAUCCCUUGGAUUUAAGGAAAUUUCAGGGUUUUCUCCUGCUGGUUUAUCUGCUUCAUCGGGCUCUUGGAAAACCUCUCAAACUUCCAAGUCAGCGUCGUCUAAAAGGAAAGCUAAGAAGGGCGGCCUUUCUAUGUUUCUCAGUGGAGAACUGGAGGCACCACCCAAAGCACUUCCUCCAACUCCCCCUCCUGUACCGAAAGUUGAUGGUCCAGCAUGGGGUGGCGUUCAUCUGCUCAAGGGGUCUGCAUCAUUACGGGAGAUACAAAACCAGGAGAGUGUUGAAGCUAUCCAAUCGAAAGGAACAACGGUUGGUUCUGUAGAGAUUGGCUCAUCCACGAAGUUGAGCUCAGUUGGUCUCGCUUCCACUAACGAGAAAUCCAUACCGGGAAUUGGUCUUAAAGAAAUGGGCAUGAAAAAGUCCAACAGUUUAGGAAAAUCUUCAGUAUUAAGGAACCCGAUUUUGGAAAUGGUUGAAGUAAGCAGUACUAAGGGUAGAAAUCCUCAACCAGCCUUAAGUUUUGUAAAGACUACUUCUGUAGGGUCCAAUAGUAGUAGGGCCAACUUGGGUCGUAGUGAAAUAGCUAUCGAAUCAUCAUUUGAUGAAACAGACAGAGGAGCGCUGCGGGUAACCCUUAGCGAUUUUGUUCGAGGUUCAGCCUCCAUCGCUGUAACGUCAUCGAAGCAGUCUCAGAGUUUACAUCCAGAGAACAGUCCUCCUGCCUGGGCUGGACGAUCUCCAGGAACCUCAGCUCCUUUGCUGCGCGAUAUCCAAGACCAACAAGUAUGUCUCACAUUCACAACCUCCAGCAACGCAUGUUUUGACCAUUCGCAGAACCAGAUAACGAGACAAAUGUCUUUUCUUACCUUUUAAAUUUCAUGGUACUGUCAUGUAUGUGGACGUUGUAUUUGUUAACUUCUAUCCUGCACAUGGUCUAAUCAAGUAAUUGGUUUGUGUAGGUAAAGCAACACAAAGCACAGCAGCGCCCAAUUGCAUUACGAAGCAGUCCACAGCUUACUAGUCCCUUGGGUUUAAUGGUAUCCGCACCUGGAAGGAGCAGCCAAGUUCCGGACCAUGGCUCCCCAUCCACUGAGGCUCCCAGUCGAUGGUACAAACCAGAAAUUAUCAACCCUUCUCCUAUUCGUAACAUCCAGAAAGAGGAAGAGGCAAUGAAAGAUUUGCGGCGUCUAUACAAGACGGUGAAAAUCGUGAGGCCGGUGGACAACUAAUCAACUGUUCAUUAGUUACGAAUUUCAUACUUCUGAUGUGCUAUCCCAGCAAUAGAGUUGUAUAUCGAUCAAUCUUCGUGUGUUUGUCAAUAUUUUUGAUAUGGUGGUUGUUGAUCAGUGGAAAAGCUCACUACUGGUGAGUCCAUUCCCUUCCAGGCUCGGCAAUAUGCUCUUGAUGAUCUCAUUUUUGAGUUUUGCUUUGUAUCCAGUAGGAGAUAAUGAAGGUUUCCAAGAUUUUCUUAGUUUGACUAUUCGUCUCAUCUGCUGUCUCAGGCACUUGUACAUUUUCUAGGUGCAGUUUCAGAAAUCUACACAACGUUUUAAUUUUUGUUCUUGGUCUUACUCUGGCUUAUGCGUACCCAUUAUUAGAUUAUUUUUCAAGAGUGUGAUCCCCCAAUUCCUGGAAUGCUUGAAGAAGCUUAUUCCUAGUCUUUUUAGGAGAACAUGUGCAUGAAAUAUCCACUUAGAAUGGAGAUUUUGAAAACUUGAUUUGCUGCAAGUGUUCAAUAUAAUUCUGCUUCUAAUCUGUGCGUGUAACACUCUUCGUAUUGUUACCUCCCACAAGAAGUGCUGGCGUAGUCCUGCCGUCAUCGGAAGGAAGUCUUCCCUUCUUACAACUUACAGUUGGAAACAUGCUUGGCAUCUAGUUCUAGGCCUUUGAAAGGAUGACUUAACUUUCCUAUACAAGUGUUUGGAGUUGAUAUAACUGAAAUGUGCUUGUACGCAUGUCUGUAUGUAUGUACAUACGUACUUGCAAAGGCGUGCAGUCAACACCCAUUUUCAAGAUCAUAAAAGCUGGCCCCUGCUGCUUGCGGCAUUCCUAUCACAUGAGCUUACUGUAAAUUCUCGAUUGCUAAAUAAUCUCUGUAAACCUUACGCCUCUGGAAGUACGUGUGUUUAUAUAUACAAUUGGUGUAUACAUGUAAAGUGUGCUACUGAUGUCUCCACAAGUUUUGUUACUGCCACCACUGUUUAUUUUUAUUCAAUUUGUUUUUAUUUUUAAAAUAUUUUGAAUUAACAUAUUAAGAAUAUUAAUAAAAAAGUUGUUGGAAUAAAAAAUAUUAAAGUAAUAUGUCAAAUGAGUAGCGGGUUGUAGUGGCAGUAGCAUAAAAACUGUGAUUGCAAUGACAAUAUCCAUAUAAAUAUAUAUUUAUGUGUAUAUUUCAGAUGUUUUUGUGAUUGCAAUGACAAUAUCCAUAUAAAUAUAUAUUUAUGUAUAUAUUUCAGAUGUUUUUGUGAUUGCAAUGACAAUAUCCAUAUAAAUAUAUAUUUAUGUGUAUAUUUCAGAUGUUUUUAUGGAGUAGGAAGUCUUUGCAAUAUUAUACUGUGAACAAAAUAAAGUUUCUGAGAAAAUUUAAAUGGUGUAUUUUUUGUAUUUAUAUAAGUGAUAUGUAUACUUCUCGAAUAGAGCACACUUGACCCAUAUCUAAAUGACGUCGAAAAGGCUCCACAUAAUAAUCAUUGCAAAGCUAGAAUUUCUACUUAAUUCCGUGAAAUGCGACUAUUAUUAUCUUCUGAAAAACCACGGAAUACGCAAAAAUAAGCACGGCCGAUUAUAGUACACCUUUACCAGUGGAUUGAUUGUGGCGACAAGCUUCUAAAAUUAAGAGUGAUGAUUUAGAAGAACGGUCCCUAAAAUCAGAAGACAAGGUUAACCGUCAUAGCAUCAGAAAAGCUGACGCAAGUAAUUAAUUUUCAGCAUAUGAUUGAAGUCUAGGAUAUUUCUCAACCACUGUCUCCCACUGUCGAAGAAAAAGAUCAAUGUCCUCAGCUAACUAAAGCCUUCGUGUUGGAUAUUCUACGUAGAUCACCUUCUGGGUCCCUUGCCCUUGGCAGUGACAAUUUCAGGAAACUUAAGUGGUACAGGCAGAGUAACCCUCCACUUGCCCUGUGCACUGUCAGGAUCCCCCAGCUCCCUCCGUUCAUUGAUAGAUCGAGCCUCAAACUUGCACCCAAGCUCACGAUAAUAAGGCCGUAUGGUGUUCACAGUUUGCUUUAACUCAAGUGCCAUAUCAUACGGGUCAGCCUGAAAAUCGUCGACGGCCAAUCCUAAGAUUAGACAGUAGCUUGUGAGAAGAUCUUUAUGCUGCUUGGACUGAAUGCGAAUUUCAGAUUUGUUGAGAGAAUCCGUUGUGCUCUCGCCCGCAAAUCGUUCCAAGAAACUUGAAACAAUUAUACCAGGUAUGCCUGUUUCUUGUGAAAACCUUCCAGGAUCUGAAGCCGCCUUCCUCACAGCGUAGUGAGGAGUUGCAUGAAAGGUAAACAGAUGUCUCAAAUACACCAAUAUUUUAGCUCGCCGAUCAUUACCUUCUUUGUCUCCCUGCAAAAAUGGUUUGAGAUAACGUUUCAGUUUCAUAGUCCGCUGCUCCUUGCUAUUAAAAUAAGAAAUCACACCCGUCACAGAAUAAAGAAUACUGAUACUGCGCAGGCUUUGGAUCGUAAGAACACUAGUAAAUAUUCAACGUGCUCACAGUUCACUAUCCCGGGACUUGAAGCUCCUCAACGAAGAACGAAUCCAUAAUGACUACGCUCAUUGCAAUAAAAAAAACUAAGAAAGGAAGAGAAUCUGUUAUCUGCUAACCUCAACCCUGAUCCUUCUUAGACGACUGAGCACGAAGUUGGGAUACUUUUGCUGACGAAGUAGUUCUUCAUCUUUGGCCUUCUUGGCUGCUGUCUUCAACUCACGGGUAUCCAAAUUCUCCCAUUCUUCAGCCGGAAUGAGCUUAUCAAGAGGGUAAGCCCCUUCGGGCGUAUUUGCAGAAACAUCAUGAGGCGGAACGUUGCGAACAACAGAUAAGUUAGCUUGUUGCAGAGCUUGCUCAUUGGUAAGAAGGGCUUCGUUUUCACCCGCUUCCUGGAAAAGGGACUCCAUAUCUUCGGUGUCUCCUAGUGCAUCCUCCUUUACAAUUCCUCUCUCCAUCCGUUGUGCCUGUGCGCAGGUCAGCAUUAGCAGAACAUCUCUAAAGAUAAAAAUUCAUUCAAUCUUGUCAAAAGAAAAGAAAAUGAGGAAGUAGAAGUAGUAAUUCAGAAUGGAUCUAUGCCUGAAUCAAAGUAAUAGUGCACCACUAAUUUCACAAAUACAAAAUUUACACGUUGAUUGCACGCUGACACAUCCUGCGAACCUGCUAGCCUCUUUAGAGACAUUGUAUUUAUAACUAAUCCACACAUAGUGCGAAAAGAAGACAAAAAAAUGAGUGUCGACUAACUAUGGGGAAUAGCGUGAUCCGACUUACCCGCAUUUUACUCUUCUGGCUGCCAAAUGUUUCAACUAACAUUCUCCGCUUCAAUAAACUCUGUUCCCUUGUAUCUUCCACACGCUCUUCUUCAUCCGUCCAUUCAUAACUCAUGCCCCUAACUCUUGGCUCCAUUCUGAGAAUCUAGAUGAAGAUGAAGUUAGGCUAAACUACUUUCAGCACUAGUUGGCGAGAGCCUCGAUCCACAGUAAUAUGGCGAAAACAAAGGAGCAUAUAAAAUCUUAGCAUGCAUCAAACCAAAUUGGUAUCCAUCGUAAAUUCCAGUAGACUCAGAAUCAGCUCUGCUCAUCCUAAUGUUGUAAUAUUUUAUACGUCAAACCCAAUCGUCUUAGAACCGCCGACGUAAACCAUGAAUCCACUAACAAGACCGAACCUAACCUUCCUGACCACAUCUACGAUGCCCUGAGACAAUAUGAGGAAUUCAAGCAACCAUAAUAAUGUUCAACAACUGUCACAUUCUUCAAAUCCAGAAACAACAAACAAAUUCCUGCAGAAAGUGUAUAAUAUCACAAUUCGUUCGAUAAGCAACCAGACAUAGAUUUCCAACUUUACAAGAACCCAACAAUGAAGUGAGCUACCUUUUCUCCAGCAAGAGGAACCAGCUGCAAGGUACCUUUCUCCUUAUCGUAAACGCCCAGUGCGUAACUACAGGGCUGCCAAGCAGCCGCUUCGCCGGCGUAGUUCAACCCAACAAAAUCCACCUGCCCGUGCGUCGACGCCACCAAUUGCGUCUGCUUCGCCUUCAGCUUGUCCACACCUUGGUACACCUUGACGCUCGACAACGCAGCAGCAGCAUCGCCGUGAUCAGCCUCCCCGAGGGGAUCGAACCCCGUGGGGAAGUAGGCUACGAAAGGGCGCGCCCGGCCCUCCUUCGAAGGCACAUAGUCCAUCCUCACAUCCUGCUCCACUACUUUCGACGCCGAUUUCUUCUUCUUCUUGUGGUGGUGGUGGUGUUGGUCAGACGACGUACUGUCCAUAAUAGCUCGUUCUGCAGCUCUUGCUGCUAGGCAAUCUGAGGACACAAUCAAAACAGGCGAUGAUUGAGCACAAUCGAGGCGAGGCAACGAGCGAGCAGGGAGACACAAUCGGGCCCUCGCACUGAAAUGAAGAAGAGGGUUUAGGGCUUUGGCUCGGACUUUCUCUCACACUCUCGUUCGUUGUCGUCGACAAUAUCGUCGCCAUCGUUCUCGUCGCCCUCUUCGUCGACGAACUUCGUUGGGAAAAAGGGGUUAGUGUGGGACAAAGUAAAAAAGCAAAGAUUACCUUGGAUACGAAAGCACUUAUUAUGAAGAAAGAAAAAGCUUGCCUUCUUUGAAAUUGAUUUCACAAAUUUAGCUCAUGAUGCACGAUUUAAUUAAGAAAAAGAAACAUGUACACUUAUUUGUUAAUUUUGUUGAUUUACGUUGUUUUCUUCUUUGUAAACAAUCACGUUAUGCAAUACUUGAAGGUGUUCUUUAAUUUUGAAAAUAUAACCAUGUACGAUAAUUUAUUUUUUCCAUGAGUCAAUUGACAAUUUUUUAAUUAUUUCCAUGAAAACUGCUCACGGAUUGUUUUAUUGUGAUUCUGUUAAUAGUAUCCUAUUUGAAUACAAUUGAAUUGUGAUUAUGCAAUUUUGAUUUGUUUCAGAAAAAUAUAUAUUUAUCUUCAAGUGAAUGUAUUUAUGAUUAUAACCAUUUAAGUAGUUUUAUUAAUUUAGCAUUAACCUUGAACACUAUAAUAAUCAAAACUAGCUUUUCUAUUGAUUUGUUAUAAUGUACAGAGUACCUCAGUGGUUACUGUUAGACCAAGAACUCAAAACAUACAUUAGUUUUAUUUUGUGAUUGGUUUCAAUUUGAAGAAAAAAAAAAAAAAAAAAAAAAAAAAAAAAAAGGUGAAGAAAAAGAAGAAGAAGACGGAAGUAUAAAAUUGAUAAUGUUUUUGUUCUACAACAUGCAUGACUAACAAAAUAAAGUUGGAUAAUAGGUAGAAGCAAUAGAUGAGGAUUCAUUAACUCUACUCAAUUCAUAAUUGAUGCAAGAUUAUGGAAGGAUUCAAUCUUUGAUAAUUAAUUCCAAAUGAUUAUUGUUUGGCUUGUAUGUUCUGUAUAAAAGUUGUAUGGAAUUUUGAAUACUUGAUCAAAGUUGGAGUUUUCACAAUUUUUUAUUUUUAUUUUUUUGGUGUAGUUCUCAUGUAAUUUUUUUUUGUGGGCCUAUUGCAAAUUUGUAGGAGACAAAAUUCUUUAUGUCAUAUAAAGAUGAUCAUGUGAGACUUUUGAUUUUUACCAAUUAAAGAACUUAAAAAUCGCAGCCUGUCAACUCCUCCCUCAGGAUAAGACUCGCUUAGUAAUACCUUAAAAAAUAAUAAGUCUUAAAUUAGAGCACACUAAAUUAUACACCUCAACAUUUGUAAAUGAAUAAAAAGUGGUCUUUAUCAUUGAGAAAGGAAUUAUCUAAAAAAUAAAAGAUUGAUUCUCUCAAGAAUAUUAGGGUGUACAUAUUGACAAUACAAAAUUUCAUAAUAUUUUUAAAGCAAAUGUUUUACUCUCGUACACAUUGUAGUUUCUUUUAGUUUUGAAUGCUUACUCAAAUAAAAGAAUCGUGUACUGGUGUGAAUAUUGGGGUUGCAUGUUAUAACUACUCAAGAAACUUUUCCUCCUCACAAAAAUGAGAUGAGUAACACCCAUUUUUGAAAAGCUCACUUUCUACCUAGUCCAGUCUGUGGUUGCUACGGAUCAAGGCAUUAAAAACCUAAAAAUACGAUCCACCUUGGAUAUUGAUUUGCACUUAAAAUGUGCAUAAAGAACAAGGUAUUCCUCUGCAUAUGCUAAAAGUUGUAUGAUUUCCAGAUUGGUCAAAGUUAUCGUUGUCUAACUUAGUAACACAUAUGCUUCCUUGGAUUCAACGUAAUUUUCUGAAAUGAAGUAUAUAAAUUCACGCUUAACACAAACGGAUUUCAACUCCCAUAUAAUGCCGCAAAAAUGUACAUAUGAAUGUCCAACAGUUAGGACUGCAGCCAAAAACGUCAAGAAAAAUAAAUAAAUAAAUAAAAACAGAAACUACAACCAGUGUAAUGAUCUGACAAUAAUUUUUGUUUAAAAAUGCAUGAGGAGCGUGCAUGAGUCUUGCGGAUGGUGCAUGAUCUGGUGCCCGACAUGUGGAGAAGACUGCGUAUUAAUUUCAUAUAAAGAAGGAUUCAUGGCGUAGCAAGUAGGGAAUCCUUCAAGACCAAACAAAUUGUGGACCUGAAGAAGGUUCCAAAGGAAUGCCGAAUCCUAACGACUGAUGGCUUACACGACUCCACCGCAGUUGGACCUCAAAACACCUGGUGUGUAGUUAAUGAGGCUGCUGGGUCUCUAAGCUGCUCCUGCCAAAAUCCUACAUUGUUGUCGUUACGGAAGCCAUCUAAAAAGUAGACGGCUGUAGAUGCUCACAAGAAAACCCUACUACAAGUUCUCAGUCAAGCAAAUUGGGAUGAAGAUCAACUCCUCAGCUGGUUUGAUCCUCUGAAAGGCUUGGAGCUGGGUCCAAUCUCAGACCUUCUGUCUUGAGCACAAGUUGCGCUGCACCGGCCCAGUCGAAUAGCAAUGGCUGUCAUAUCGCUAAAAUCCACCGAAUCCCAAACUGUUUCACACUAAAUUAGAAGUCAGUGAUGUGGCGCUCAUACUGAGCUUGCCGUCUUCUGUCCUCCCCGCAACAUGGCAGCCAUUCUGGCUUGAAGAACACGAUCAACCCUAAUGCGACCAAAGCAAACAAGAAAACUCCGACAGUGGCGCCUACAGCAGCUUUGACUGUUGAUUUGUUGGAAGACUCUGAGCUGGAUGCAGCUGCUGGGGAAGCAGGAGGAAGCACCACACUGGGGGUUGGUGGGGACGGAGGAGAAUCGUCAGUUCCAGGAGGGGGAGGAGCGAUUGAAGGAGGGGGAGACGCAGGAGCAACUGUAGGGGAUAAUUUAGGUGGCAACGCAGGAGUAGGCGAUGGAACGACGGGGACGAACCCACCAGUAGGAGGUAAAACGGCUGGAGCCAGCGAUGGCACAGGUGACACAGACCCAAAUGGCGGAAUGACUGGUGCUGGACCUGCACCCACGGGUGUUGGAGCAGGUGCUGGAGGAGGUAGGGUCUGUCCGGGAGUUCGAGCAGGACCUGGGAGAACUGGAUCAGCAACUGGAGAUGGAGUAGGUGAUGGGAGUACUGGUUGCGGUUCGGGAGUUGGAGAGGGAGGUGAACCCAAGAAAUCCGCAGGGGGUGCUGGAGGCGAAUUAUCGGGUGCUAGUGGAUCAUUCGGUGCAGGUUCUGAUGCAGGAGCCGGUACCGGAGGUCCGAAUUCAAAUUGCUGAAGGCACCGUCGAGAUCCAUGACACGAGGAAUCCGUGUUGGAUAGGCCAAGAGCGGAAGUAGUAGUGGUAUAGGCGAGAAGAACGAAAAUAACAAUGUGGGAGACAUUGACCAGUCUCCUGCUCCUUGUACACCCCACCAUGAUGAACUUCGAGUACCCGGACUACGGCCACAGAACAGAAGGUCUAGAGAAGAGAUGAGCACUAUAUUUUUGGGUGAAUGCUACAAUGUGAGAACAGAUUCACAGGUGGUGCCCAGGAGUUGGGUCAAGAAGGAUUCGUAACUCGGCAGAUUUCAUCAUCCAGCAAAGUAACGUGUUCGGCUGCUUCGCGUGCAUGCCUGCAAACAAAAGUAGAUUUCAGAGAUUAUCACAACGAGAUACAGAUCUGACUUAACCCAGAUCAGUGAUCCACGCUUUCACGUCGAACUCAAGUGUUCAUCCCAGUGCGCCGUUGCAACCAGAUGCGGAACAAUGCAUAGUUCACACGAUGCAAUGCUUCGUCGCACCAGGCAAUCGAUAUAUCCAACAGGAAACCAAUGGCUCCAGAUCUGCAACGAAGCUCCGAAAACUAAUCGUAUCCUGAGUGAAAGUUCGUCCCCCAACUCAACAUACCAACACCUAUAUGCAGAAUCGUUCUGUUAAAAGCCAAAAACAUCCCCCCGUUUCAUCGACCUGUUCAUCAAGCCGCUCAGAGUGGGGAAAAAACACAAGCAAACAACUCUGUCUCCUUGAGUAAUGCACCACCGCAGUUAAAAAGACACAUACAAGAUACAUCUACAAUGCAGCGCAACUUCGAAUCGAAAAACUAAAAAAAAAAAAUACAUAUAAAGACAAGAAAAAGACAAUGCAACAAGAAGAAGAAAAAGAGCACUGGGCAAGAUGAGGAGAAUCACCCAAGUAUAAUAUGGGGUACAAGAACAAUGACGCUCUGGAAAGAAUGAGAGAGAAUCUGUCUCUCUCUUUUUCCACUACACAGCAUACCUUCUCAGCAACAACGCACACACCCAAGAGCACACACACCACCCAACAGUGGUAGUAGUAAUAGUAUCAACAAAGGCACCGAUUAAGAUCCGAGACCUUGGGCGCCCGUGCUACGCCACCUCCAGAGCACAUCAAUGCCACAAGACCGUAAGAACAUUGAGUUAUUGGGGGCACAGAGAUCCAGAACUCGGGGCCGAAGGCGGGCAAACGGGAUCCGGGGGGGGGGGGGGGGAGACCAAGACCGCCCCACAAGGCCCAGAUAGUCGAGGAAAAGGUGCGAAACUACAGCGUAAGGGGAAGCGGGGAUUGAUAGAUUGAUACGCCGGUGCUCUCGCCAUGCCCUGGAUUUCGCAACUAUGCGCGAUGAUGCAUAAUGGCCACGAUCCCAGCAACCCUCGUUGAAUGUCCGCCGAGGCUUCCUGCGGCGGUGGCGCUGAUCGUGAGCGUGUUCGCGUGGUGGUGGUGCCAUGAGUCCAUUCUUUCUUUCUGUGCUUCACAGGGCACGAAACUGUUUUGUGAGUGAGUGAGUCCAUGAAUUCCUCGUUCAUGGGGCUCUUUGUAAUGGACUGUCUGUCUGUCUAUCUGUCAUCCAUGGGAGGUUAAGUUUAGGGCAGAGGAUUCUCUGCUUCUUGCUUUGCAGUCUGCUUGUUGCCAUGAACUUGGGGGCAACAAACAAGAGAUUGUACUCUUUUUUUGUUGAGUUAAUGUUUUUAUAAUUUGCACGAAGAACAUUUACAAGAGAGAUUUUUACCCAAUAGUGAGGAUGCGUUUGGACAAUCACAAAGGCCCUCAUAUUCAAACUCAAUUUGUGGCUCCAUUUAUGAUUUAUCAAUCCACACCAUAUUGGUUGAAGGUAUUGUAUCUUCCUUUAGACUACUCUCACCUUGAAUUUACCUUUCAUUGGACUAAUCUUGUUAUCUUGCUUUCUCAAAUCUUGUGAAUGGUUAUGUUUGUAAGAUUUUGUUUGGCUAUGGUGAUUAAGCCAUUUAGUAAAGUUUUAGGAUUUUUCUUUUUUCUUUUCACACUUGCAUUCUUAGACUCUCUUUUUGUGGUGUAAAAGAUAGCUUGAUUAGGUCAUGUUUAGAUUUUACAUCAUUCCUUAAAAGUGCAUUGCUUGUGCAUUCUUAUUUGAUUUAGAUUGCAUACUUGAUGUUGAUUUUUGACACUCAAUUUGUUGUAUACAAUGAUCUUUAUUUACACAACAACUAUACUAGUCUUAUAUAUUGAACUAAAAUGGAGCUAAUCAUCAAAGUGGUAUGUAUUUUUAUCCAAAUAUAUAUAUAUAUAUAUAUAUACAUUUAGAAAUAAUUCCAUAUUUAUCUUAGAAAAUAUUAAAUAUUACUAGUCUAAAAAAUUAUUUUACUUAAAGAAAAAAGUUAUAUAUAUAUAUAUAUAUAUAUGUGUGUGUGUGUGUGUGUGUGUAUGUGUGUCUGUGUGUAAAUAUAAAAAAUAUCAUUAAACAAGAAAAAUCAUUCUAAUUAAUAUCAAUAGAUUGAUUUAAUCUUGAAACUUCUAAUAUUAUAAUACAUCUAUUGAUGACUUGUAUUAUAACAUGUUAUUUUUGUUGUUGAAAAAUAUAUACAUGUUACAUUAUUGCCUUUGUUUUUGUUACUUGGGCUUUCAAGAUUACAAGCAAGCACAAGACAAUACCUUCUAAAAUCAAACAUAAGAUAUCCAACAAUCAAAAAAAUAAGUUUUCAUUUAUUAACUUACCCAAAAUUCACAUGACCUUCCGCCCAACACUAUUCUACCUCAUAACAUUACUGGAUAGAUCUAACUAUGCAUUAUGCUAAUUCUUGAUUGCUCCAUUGUGUUUCUCUCAAUCUUUAAAUAUUCUUCUAUCUUAUUGUGUCUUUGUUAAUUUUGGUUUCACUAUCAUAACUCUUUAUCUCCUUGUUUAUUGUUUUGCUAAUAUUGUGUUGUCACAUUACUUUGGCAAGUAUCAUCCAUAAGUGCAUACAAUCAUAUUAGGGGGAUAAUAGUUCUCUAUUUAUUAAGCAUAAAAUCUUAUUCUUAAAGGAUAUGAGACAAAUGUAAUAUUUGUUUAUCCAAAUAUUGUCUUUAGAUGAUCAUCUAUACAAUGAUGUUUGUCUACUAGACACUUGAUGCAAGCCCAAAAAAAGUCUUAUUAAACUAGUGUGAUUUUAGUGUAAUACAAUGUAUACUAUAUUUUAAUUAUAAAAAUUUAAAUUUAGGCAAAUACAUUAACUUCAAACAUUUAAUUGUUUUACAUAGUUUUAAGCAAAUAGCUAGCUAGCUAGAUAGAUUAUUUUAUUUUUAUUGUUGUGAAUAUAUAUAUAUAUAUAUAUAUAUAUAUAUAUAUUUAAAUCAAGUAAAAAUGCUGCAUGAAAGUUUAACUAAUUAACUUUUGAAUACUUUAAUCUAUGUUAUAGCUUUUGUUUUAGAAUUUAGAUAACAUAUUUAAUUAUACCAUAUAUUUAUAUAUUAUUUUUGCUUAAAUACUUAAUUUAAUUCCUAAAAUUUUAAAUGAUAUUUUUCAAAAAUUAGGCAAAACUUUGGUCCUUCAAUUUACUCUUUAAUCUGUUGGAAGUUCAUAAAUCUGGUGUAUAUGUUCAACAAGUAGUUUAGAAUUAUCUUUAUUGGUGAUGUUCUAACUAGUUAAGAGGAACAGAAAUUACAAUUUUAAAAAAUUUAAAUAAAUUUUAAAAGAGAAAUUUUAGGAUAAAUGGUUGACAUUUUCUCAAGUAUGCUUAUAUGUAAAUCACAAAUACAUCUUAUCAUUUUAUAUAGAAUCAUCAAGAUUAAAAUUAUCUCUUUUAGAUUGUCAUUGUUUCUAUCAGACCUGACAUUCAAAUUAAUCGUUUUUAUUUCAUUAUUAAUUAACUUAUAAUUAAGAACACAAUGUAAUUUAUACAUGAGGGUAUAAAGUAUGCCUAAUACAUUUACAUUUUAUUUUUUAAAAUAUGGUGCAUUAUAUAUAUAUAUAUAUAUAUAUAUAUAAGAGAUUUUUAAUUAUAAAAAUAUUCAUUGUUCAAAUGCAUACAUGAUUUUAUGUAGUGUAAAGACACAUAUAACCAUGUGUGUUUUUAAUGAACAAAACACGAUCAUACUCUUUACAUUUUUGUUACAAUUUAAUUGUACAAUCUAGACAUCCAUUAAAAUUCAACAAAAGUUCAAAAUUCAAUCCAUUUUAAUCCAAGAGUGUUUUUAUUGUUGUGUGAUCUUGAACCAUAAGCUGCCAGUUAAAUGUUACCUGUAGUACAAGAUGACAUCAAAUAAUAUUGAAGAAGUACCUCUUGUUGUAUUGAAAAGUAAAAAUAAGACUAAUUUAAUUUAACAUUCCUUUUGGAAUACUGCUGCAGGUUUCGACAUGUCAUGUACCACAACAAAUGAAAAAAGACAAAAAGAAAAAACACUACUACAAUGCACACAAUACUAAUUACAGUUCUUUGCAUUGCACAAUGUGCACAAAAUUGUAGAAAACUACUUGUAGGAUGUAAAAUUGCAAUGCAAUUGAACAGGUCAUUCCAUUCAUAAUCUUUCGGCACUACAUUUACCUCUUCUAUAGUAACUGUUGAUUUUAACACUUUAACAGUAUCUUCUACCGCACUGCAUCCAUGACUCAAAUAAGAUUACUUUUAAUAAGACCAAUUUAUUAUUAUUUGAGCAUCAUGAUUCCUUCUUCUACCAUAUACAUGGAAAUGUUUUUAAAGAAGCUAAGAUGAUGAAAAAACACACACACACACAUAUAUAUAACAAAACAACAACAACAACAAGAGAGAAAGAGGAGGAAAACAAGAUGGAUCAAAGAUGGCAAUUAAAGGUUAUAUUAUUAGGGGUUUUGUUUUAUAACGUCAAAGAUCAAAGAAAUAAAAAAUUAAAAAAUAUACGUGCAAUGUGCACAACAAUCAAAAUUCAAGAUCAUGGCCUUGUUCACCACCAUAUAAAACCCACAUUUUAUUUUUUUUAUUUUUUUAUUUUUUAUUUUGUAAAACAAUCACUUUUCCAACUUCUAAAACCCUUUUUGUAAAGAGAAAAAUAAGAAAAAUAAUGAAAAAAUAAAUAAAAAAUAAUUAAAAAACUUCACACACGUGGACUCCAUCGAGCCCUCGUGGCAGCAAAUCCCCACGUCGUGAAAUGAGAUGGGUCGGCGAGGGGGUCCGUUAUCCACCCAUGGACGGACGUUGUUGGUCCUCGUCAACUUCUGUCGCUUACAUGGGAUCGUCGUCGUCGUCGUCGUCGUCCUCAUCAUCGACGUCGUCGUUGUCGUCGGCUUGCUUCUUCACCACCGCGAGGCACACUCGGUGUUUGCAAGGGGAGCUCGCAAUUGAGCAGAGGAGGAUAUUUGUGGCGCUCUGCAUUGCAAGCUAUGGCGACUCUGCAAGCUUCAACCUCGAUUUCGACUCUGUUUUGUGGGCCUCGGACGUCGGUGUCGCGAUUGGCAGCGCCGGGGACGACGUCGAGAUUACCUGUAACUCGUCGCUCGAAGCAGGUGAAAUUGGCUCCACUAACCCUAGCUCCAUCAACCCCCGAGGUUCUGGUUCGUGGCUUAGUUGAUUCACAGGCGGAUAUAUUGCCACGGAUGGAGGAAUUGGCCACUUGUAAAUAUAAUGAGGAUGAGAUUAAUGAGCGAGUGAGUAGCUUGGAUUGUGUUUCGGUUAGUGAGUUCUUAGGGUCCGCUAAUGGCACCCUGGAGAGAUUUGUGAGGGAAAAUGCUCGGGAGUUAGCUAUAGGUAGUCUCGCGCUUGCUCUGUUUUGUCUUCCUGACGAGCGUGCGCUGGCAUUGGGGCCCGAAGGACCACUGUUGGAGGAGUUUUGGGAUAAUGUUCGGCGGUAUGGUUUUUACUUCUUCACUGUGGUGUCCGGAGGAUUGUACAGCUUGACGAAGCCGCUGUUGGAUCUUUUGAAAGACCCGUCGACGCAAAUCUUGGUUGCUAUAGCGGUAUUCGGCACUCUGUAUCUCGUGUACCUGACUGUUAGUACGAUGCUUGGCUUAAAUGAUUUCUCUUAUGAGUAUGCUCAAUAAAUGAAGAAAUGGCUUUGUCCUUACUCUUUUGAUUGGCAUACUCGCUCUAUUUGCACCUGUCGUGUGUGCUUCGUUGCAUAAUUUUGUUUGUCACUCUUCGUAGCGUUUGGCGGUGUGUUGCGACGGUCUUUAAUUGCAGUUGUAUUCAGUAUCUCUCAUGGGUUUAUCCAAUGGUGCCAGCAUUUAUUCCUUUUUCAAUUGGGAUUCUCUCUCUUCCAUUCCACCCGUCUGCUUGGAUUAAGCUAUGUCAAUCUUGCUGAACGGAAGUAAUUUCGAAGUUCUCCAGUAAUUGCCCAUGAAACUUUAAAGAGUGGAACUAUCAUAACGUGCAAUUUUCUGCGUCCUGGAAAAAAAAAAAAAAAAAAAAAAAAAAAAAAGUUGACAGUUUUCAUUGCUGAAUAAAAGUCUUGUAUGUCUUACGUACUGCAUGCCUUUGUAAUUUUCAGGGUUUAGGCUAUAGGUAAUCAAGUCCUUGCAGGCCCUAGCACAGUUGCAGUGAUUUCAAUAUCAGGGCUUUGUGGAUUGCCUUUUAAAUUGCUGUCGUGUGGCGUUCUUUGAGGUCGUGCAGUCAUCCUGUUGUAGAAUUUUUACCCGUGCCUGAAAAACGUGCGAAGCGAAGAUGACCAUGUUCUUGCCAGUUGAAUGAUUUUAAAAUUGGUGUAUGUGAUGAUGAUUACCCACCAGACUUGUGAAUGGCUGCCGGUGUAGCCAGCCAAAUUGGUCAGGCAUCUCAGAAUCAGCUCUAAGUCAAUUCAUUGCUGACCAUUCCAUUGGAGUGUGGCGUAAACCUAAAAUUCACGACACCAGUGAGCUUGCGAACAGUUCUGUAAUUUUUGCAUUUUUUUUUUUUUUUUUUUUUUUUGAGGUAGUCGUUCAACCUAAUCUUUCAGCUGUCAAUGCUGAUGUGCUAGCGAAUAAUGCUGGGCAGUCCAGAAGGAAUAAGUGAGUUCAAGUCAACUAAUUUUCUUUUUGAACAACACUUCACUGGACUCAAUUCGCUGUCUUUCAACAAGUCGUACACAAGAACAAGUGUCCCCGAAGCACCACUAUCUUUACACCUGGUGUGGAUUGAGUGGCCCCAUGUAAAGAUAAUUGCGAUGCCAGAAUCUUGAAGCAUGGGGAUUCCUUCUGGUUUGCUCAAUUUUGUUGCUCCGGCUCCCGAUCUUUGCAAGUUAUGCAGCCUAGUGUAAAAAGCAUGUUGAGAAGACAGCUGGCAAGCAACUGGAAAUGCGACAAGCGUGAGUCAUGUAGUAUGCGAUUCCAACACUCCAAUCAAUGUAUAGACUGGUGUGCACUAAUAAAUGUAAAGCUUCUGCUUCCAAAUGAUGUUAUCCCAAUCCAGAGAAGAAAUUACUCCAACUUGGCCGAUUUAGAGUCAUGCUUAUCGCCGCAGAAUACGAGAGGCGCACACCGCAUCGACAGAAAUUACGAAUUUAAUGUGGUCCUGGUAAGAAUUAGUUGCUGAGUCGUGCCCGAGAGAGUAGGCCGAAUUCAAUGCAACCGUAUCUGCCGCUGUGCUUAACGGGAGGUCGUCUUCUCCCCGCCCUAAUUCUACCCUGAUAAAUUUGAGUUCGGUGUUUUCCGAGUUACCGUUCACUAUAGGCUCCGUUUUCAUGUGACACCAAGUGUUAUUCUCUGACGGUGUUCUUACCAGACACUACGUCAGACUUUUGUUGCCUUGCAGAACCAGAGGUGGGUUUCGACUUUGAAGCUUGUGUGAGCUUAGUUCAUAGUUUCGGUGUUUCCAAUCGGUUUGGAGUGUUCGGGCUUGUGGGAGUCACUCUGGAUUCUUUUGUCGGGGUGAGUUAUCUCGCCGGAUUUCUUGUGGUGGGAAGGAUUCAGAGGGCAGCUGGUGUUCGAGGUGGAAAGGUCCUGCAAUUGCUGGAACUGUGGAUUCUGGGCUGGUGGCGGGAAUUUCUCGUGGCUUUUCUCGUAGUUUUGGUGGAUUAAGCGCCGUGACUGUUGUUUCUUCGACUUUUGGACCGAUUGUCUCCAGAGUGUGUGGCGAACGAUACAUACUUGUCUCUUUUCUUGGUUCUUUAAUUGCCGUGAGUUGAAUUUAGCUGCCGAUGUACGUUGGUGAUGACAAGGUAGAACUGCGGUGAAUUAUAUUCAUAACUUCAGAGCUGUCAGCGAUUUGGAAUCUUCGCGAAUAGAUUAGCAAAAUGCACAUCUUCGGACGCAUCUUACGCUUUUCAUGUGCUAGUAAUUGAUUGUUGAGCUGCAGCGGAUCUUUUCCGAGUGAUUGUACCUUGAGCGCUAAUUGCUGUUUCUUGCCCCUGUCUUCGAGAAGAGCUUUCUUGACACAUUGAAAGUUUAAAGGAUAGUCACCAUGCUCUUUGAAUUAAUAUGAAGGUUUUAGGCAUUGAUCUUUCUCCAAUCCUGUCUUGACCUAUCCUAGGGAUUAGGGGAGCAAAUAUUUUUCCCUUGGUUUGCGGUCUUAAGAGGAUGCGAUUCUACUACUGCAUUCAUGUCACAGGAUCCUUUCGCUUUCUGAUUGUGGGUUAUGGACGAAACGAACGCGAUUAAGUGCAUCAACCGUUAUUAUUCGUUCUUUAGAACUCGAAAGAUUUGAGAAUUUUCAUUGAACAUUUCUUUUCUCGUUGAAUGUGAGCUUUAAAGCAUUGAUUCGAGUUGUGGGUAGAGGCGAAUGAGUGCAAUUUGAUAAAUGCGUUGGACACCGACCAAUCCUUCGGUAUAUUGAACCUUCAGUCGAACUUGACCUUUUGAAGUGAACUGCUUUACAUUCCUCACUGCCUUAUUCAAUUCUUGUAUGUCUUGACACUCUCCAGUUGCAUUUUGCAAGAUAUGUUUGCUUGUAGCUCAGCUGGAGUGUGCCUUAAUAUAUGUGAAGAGGUUAUUCAACAGCUGGUUGUGUAUUCUGUGGUACAGGUACAGAUGACCGGCAAAGAAUUGGCGUAAAUAACAGCUAUUAUAACCUCGUGUCGAUAUUGUUUUACGGUUGCCGGCGAACUCAACAGUUUGGUUUCUAUAUUUGAUUUUGAAGCAUCGAAUCAGAGGGUGGGUGGAGGACCGAAUUUGGCACAACUUGGAGAAUCGUAGGGUGAUUAGAGUUUGAUUGUGGUGGAUAACUUAUUUAGGAUUCGCUGAUGGUAAUAUGUGAAGCAGUUGAAAGAACUGGUCGUUCUGCUGAAGGGCGGAUGGGAGGGCGCAGUUUGCAGCGGCGUGAACUCACACCCUCGUCUUUUAGGAAGAAGUUAACCCAAGAAGUCCAGCGCAAGUUGCAGAAGGUACUGGGGAAAGCAUAAAUGCUACUGAGUGGAGAAGAAAAUAUCUUUUAGAAAGAUUUAUGUUCCAAUCAAGCAGAGUUAUUUUCACAACACGUAGUUUUACAUUUUUGACUAUGGACACCAAAUUUAAACUAUUUUCAUAUUUCUCCAAUUUUAUGACUAUACGUCGAUUGCAGGCACUUGAUUAUCCCGCUCAAAGAGGAGAAUUAUUGCGGCAACUUUUUACUGACGUUGCCUUAGAAGUGGACAAGCGUGCUCUAGGUAAGAAAAAGCUUCCGUUUUAAAGUUCACAACUAAUUCAUCUGAUCACGAUUAGCCAUAACAUUCUUGUAAUGGUCAGGUGAUCUUGUUGUGCGAAUAGGUUACAUCGUGGAAUAUUGUUUAUGUAGUAUAAGUUUGGCGUUUGCACUCUAGCUUCAGAGUAUAUUUCAUCUCAGUGUGAAGGCUGGCUAUGGAUUUGCAAUUCAUUACCAACCUGAGGUGUAAUGGGAAUGUCGUUUUCGCAGAGAGACUUUAUGGUUCUUCACAAGCUGCCGACGGUGUUGAGAAUGGUGGUUCUGUGAAUGCAAACGGCACAUACCCACGCCCAUGCUUCUAUGAAAUUUUCGCACAACACUAUACCCAAGUUCCGGAGGAUGGAAAGGAAAUCCUUCCUCUGUUUCUACAAUUAUGGAGUCAAUCAUUUGUUUCUCAAAUAUUUGCGCUGCUCUUCCAUCGCUGGGUAAUUUAUUCUAUGAAACCAAUUUAAUUUUGUAGUCAGGUUUCAUCUUUGGUCUUAGUUGAAUCGUACACACACACACACACACACACACACACACACAUAUAUAUAUAUAUAUAUAUAUACAACUCAUUUUGAGGCUCAUUUAAUUAUUUGAACCAGCUUGAACGACAGAAUCUACUUCUGACAGAAUCUUACUGGAUUUGACAGUUGUUUGAGAUUCCCAGAGAAGAGUCAGAGGGGUUUUUGCGAUACUCAACAGCGUUUGUAGAGGGCGCAAGCAAUAUAUUUUGGAUUGAUUUGCAAAGUAAUGUGCGGCGAUUUUACUCCAUGUUUAAUGUAAGGUGUUUUUGCUUUUCUUUGUCUGACUUAAUUUCAUUCUAUUGUCUUUGGCCUCUCAUUCCUCAUUGUUAAGCUCCUUGCAGAACUUCGGAUAUAUAGCUAUGCUCGUUUUGUAACUGGAUUGUUUUGUGCAUUUCAUAUGCUGUAAUGUGCUCCAGAAAAUCUUCGUUCUCUGUAUGAGUUCUGAUGAGUCAAUGUGUUGGUCUUAUUCUAUAUCCUCAUCUUGACUGGUGUUCUGAUUGUAGUAUACAUUUGAGGAGGUUGUCUUAGACUCUGAGCGUCUCACAAGGGUUCCCAUUCAGGUGCAGCUUUCUAACUUUUCGGGUUAUUAUGGCGUACUCCGGUCCUAGCUAGCAUGAUUGGUUUUCUGGAUUGUUUUAAGUCAGCGCCCAAGUUCUGCUGUGUAGUUCUCAGACUUCUGUAGAAAUAGGAUUAUAGAUUCUCGAUCGCUGAUGUAGUGCAAUUAUUUUUCUAUUGUUGAAUGGGCAGGCUCGACAAGAUCUUCUUUUAUUGGUUUCUCGGUACCUGUUAUACUAUGAACCAGGUACUAGUGACUUAUUUGAAUCUAAUGUAUACUGGAUGUACCUGUACUAUGCUUUCUGAAGGUUUUGCUACGUCUCUCAAAGGCAAAGGAAGAAGUCAGUGUAUGUCAAAACGUCAGUUGCAAUCAUUGUUUUAGAUAACAGACCAAGAAAGUUUCUCUUUUGAGACUUGUGUAGCCGACAGAUUGGGGUACUAUUUGAAGAAUGUACCGAAGUCAUCCAACGUUGUCCUUGAACCAGCUGAUAUGUUUGUCACGGAGCUUACAGAUCAGGUGCAUGUCUUCUUUAAAUUCUUUUUUAAUGCUUGCAGAUGAUAUAUCUGUUUGGAGUGUUUUCUUUUCUAACACAAGAUAUUUCAUGAUUAUUUAUUUAUUUAUUUAUAUUGAGUUUAUAUUCUGAUCUGUUUCCAGCAUUUUUCUUUGUUUGAUGAGACUUUCAGUUACAGAAGGUCAAGGUGGAGCCUGUGCUUCUACAUUAUUUGUCAAGCAUGAAGGCACUGAAAGGUGAUGAGAUAAUUCUUUAUUAAUCUUUUUCUUGCACGUACAGACGGAUCUCACGUCAGAAAGUCUUGUUGGAUCAUUUUGUGAUUGUAUCAACUCACACCAAAAUACCUGAUAGUGAAUGUGUCAUGAUAUUGUUUGAAGGUGUGGAGUUGCGGGCAACCACGAGUACACGGUUAAAAACUGCUUUGUACUCCUUCACAGCUCCUGGAGGACCCAUGUACCCAACUCGGCCAGUCCGACAUGCUGCUUGGGAAACCUUGGAUGUCCUCUUUCCAGUGAGUUCGUAUAUCCUAGAGUUCUAAUUGGACAAAUCGUAUUAAUAACAUGAGACUUUGGAAAGAAUCACAAGGGCUACUAAUCGUCGCAUUCACCAUUUGCUGCACUGAGAAAUUGCAUUUGCACGACCUGAAAUUGAUGGUUCAAUAAUUUACUUAUUUUGGUAUCGUAGAUUGGACGGCAUUCAAGACACCUUAUCAGCCUUUUUUUCCGAUUACUGCACCCAUACUACUGGCCAGUGUCAGCCUGGAACUUCACAAUUACAACAAUCAAGGCCUUGUAUGCGAAGAUCCUAAACACGGUGUUUGAGAUCUUCGCAAUUAUACUGAUGGGUUUUGAGAGGAUACUGGGUGUCCGCCGCGUGGUGCAUGAUUAACAUGUUUACAUAUUCUAUAUAUUUGUUGAUCUUUAAGUAUAAUCUGCAAGUAUGAUUUGCAGGGGCUAUAGUCCUUGAAUUGCAAACUUAGGCGUGUUGAGUUUUUUCGAAAUGCUCUUGAAUGAGUCCUUUUAGAGCAUCCAUUUUUGUGAAUUUAUUGAGCAAUUGUUGUUAAUUAAAUUAGCAAAUUGUUGUUAAACAAAUUAGACGUUGAUGAAAGAUUUUAACGUGAAACACAUCAAAAGGAUUCAAACCUGGUCAUUGAACCACUUCAAUUGGAUUAUUUAUAGCAUCCAAUUUUUCCCAUGAAACGAAGUAACUAAUUGAUUUUUCAGUACUGCUACUUCACUACACUUACGACAGGAUUUGGCGCAUUUGUUUGUAAACCAAUGUUACAUACACAACGUUUGGAACCAUUGCAACAGUGUCGUUUUCUUUAAUUCUUCUUUAUUUUAUGCGUGUUUCUACAACGGGUGUAAGUAUUAUGAUUCCAAUGAGUACGUUCAAACAAUUAAUUGUAGGGGUAGGAGACGACCGGUUCAUAGUGAUAAAUAUAAUUUUACUUCCAAAGCCAGUUCGCAAAAUGUCACAUGAUGUGACAGAUUUAUAUUCUCUUUCAAUAGGUCAUGACGAUAUGCCGCCAAACAUUACUAAAGGCCAGGUUCAGAUUCAGAGCAGUUGUUGUUCAUUGCAAGACGCAGGUGUAAAUUACUACGGCAUCCCUUGUCCAAUGGACCGACACUCAUAAGGUUGGUUUGCCCAGUGUUGUUCAUUAUGUACUUAUCUAGUGAAUAAAUUAAAAUUCAAAAAAUGUUUGCAAACCAGACUGAAAGAGAAAUUGUAAGCUGAAGUCAUGGCAUAGCUAAAAUGCCGUAUAUGACAAGCCAAGCUAUUGGACAUAACAAGUAACCAUCAAGUAGUAAGGGAAGCUGGCAAUUAACUGUGUUUGAGAGAUGACUAAGUUUAAUAACUUAAACAAGUACAAAAAUAUGUGGAGUUUUCUAUAAAGGAUGACGUACCAUCAAUGUUCAUCAAAUAGAGACAACCAUAUCAUGCAGUGAAAAUGAAACGAAGUAUUCAAAGGAAAGUGAACCGAGAAAAUAUGACUUCCAGUAGUGAAUGAAGAACAUCAUCCAGUCUUUCCAGAAAAAGUUUCAGGAACAGAACGAGAUUCUCUCAUCUCAAACUGCAGAAAAUCUUGAAAAUUUUCUCAGAACCUAAGCUUGGAGAAAAACCACCUGUUCUUGCCAGUCUUGAACCUCUCUUCCAAAACAGCUUUGGCCGCCUGUUGAUAUCAAUCGCGAAUCUCUUCGUAUCAGAUUACCAAAACUCUAUUUAUGAUAUAUAACACAUGAAUUCAAUUUACCCAUUUCUGAACGAAACAACAGCGACUAGUUCUAACUGCAUUUCUACACAUCAUAACAAAUACCCAACAACAAGAUCAGUAAUCGAUAUUAAUACAAGUUCUCAGCGGCUGUAAAACUGAGGACUACUAACUAAUGGUUGAGACCCCGAAACGUUAGCAAGUGAUACCUUUCUGGAUUCUACACGACUAGCUGUAGACUCCAACUUGUCGGCAGUUACGGUGUUCUUCAAAUCCACGUCCAAGGAAUACCUGCCACAAUUCACAUUUGUAAGUCCCGUCAAAUAUUGCUACUUUAAGUCCAAACGCGCUAGACGUAAUCGAAGUCCCCUAUAUAUGUCAUAUUAUCGACAAACACCAAGCAGGAAGAUUCUGACCAUAUGCCUCCUGAUAUAAGAGAAAACGUAAGAAGUACGACUGAAUGCUUGCCCUACUGCCGAGUUGUACCUUUUAAGGGACAGGAAUCACAAUUCUUUGCAUGAGCACAAGAGAUUAUAAUCGAAGAAUGUAUGAAAUGCUACUAUCGGAUUGCGCCCAGCAAUACGGAUGUUGCCAGCGAAACUUCCAGGAUUCUUUUGGCCUCCCAUGAAUCAAACGAACAAAUAACGUGAGGCUGGGAUUUAACAGAGGCGCAACUGUGAAGUAGACUGCAGUGAUUUCGAAUGCUGCAUCGACUACCAGUUCUAACACCGUAUCAAGUCUUACACGACCCCCUGAGCGAGAUUAAGUGAACGAACAAUGUGAGUACCUGGUGGGCAUUAUGUGGUUGUAGUUGACCACUUUAGUAAAAGCUUUGAGUCUUGAGCGCUUGGCAAUGGUCUUCUGUGAAGCCUUCUUGAUAACCUGCAUGCGUGAAUAGAAGAGAGACUUAGAAGAAAGCACGAGUUCGUGCACCUUAACUCCCCUAGCCCAAUCAUCCUUUAAAUACUACGGGUGCGGAGUUUGUUCCAGAGCAGCACAAGCUCCGUGAGGAAACACCGAAAAAAAUUAAUAAAUAAAUAUGUAAAUAAACAAAAAAAUCACAAGAGUGAAAUGCUUCGUUACAAACCGCCUAUUUAAGCCAAAGCUAAAAUCAAACUUAAGACCCUACAGCUUCACAUGCAAUGCAUUCUACUCUAAGCGCCUACACCCAGGAUGUAAAACCCUCGGAAUCUGCUGUAAACAAACUUUACAGAAAAAAUAAACUAAUAUCCACACAAAUUUCUGAAGAGGCGAUACAAACCUUCUCGUCCAGAACUCUCCCCUAACUAACCCGGAAAAACAUGUAAAGCUAAACCAAAAUAACAAAUCGACUACUGUUCCCAGUAACAAACGAUACUUGAAACUAAGCAUCCCAUCAGGCUAACUCACAACAUAACCCUUCAAAGGCACGUAGACCUAAAAAUCAGAAGCUGUUAUAAAAAGCCUGGCGAUGCGGGUAACAAACGGGGGGCGCGAAAUUACAAACCUUGCGAGGGUACUUGGCGAUGCCGCAGACGAUAGCGUGGCCGUAAGGACGCUCCUUGGUGCCAUCGUCGAAGUUCUUCACGAUGACAGCCUUGCGGCCGGCAUAGCGGCCUUGCAAGAGCACGACCACUUUGUUGGGCUUCAGGAACUUCACCAUCGUGUCGCCGCGCGGUUGACGAGAGGCCUGCAGACCUACGGAGAAUGCAGAGAUGGGGAAAGGAAAGACUCUGCGCUGCGCUUCGCAUAUCUACAACCCCCCUGCCGCAAACCCCCUUUGCCCUAAUUUCCUUUUGCGCCUUCGUUCCGUGUGAACGCGACAAUGUUGAUACCAGGAUGAAACCCGGGAGUUGCUCGCGGGUAUGUGCUUGUGAAUCUGACUUUCACAUUGUUGGUGUUUGUGUAUCUGGACAGUUGCAAAUAUUUGCACACAUUACAAAUCAAAAUGUAUUUUUAGUACAAAUCUAUAACAAUAUAAUUAUAUUGCGUUUUGAAUUAUCACCAAAGUUAUCUUGAUUUCUAAAAUAGAGUCAUGCAUGAAUAAAUCAUUUUCAACAAGUAGAAUUUCAUUUUUUUAUUUUUAUUUUAAUGGUAGUGCUUUUGUGUUUGAAAGAAUCAUGAGCCUAAGGAUCGUUUUUGGUUUCUUAUUUUCGUAGUGAACAAGAAGAGUUAUGUUGGGUCUUAUUGAAUUUGAUCUAAAAAUGCAGUAAUUACUACAAAGUUCUUCAAAAAAUGUUCUCAAUUUUGGAGAGGUUUUAAUUUUAUGUUAUUAAUAAAUCUUAAUGAGAAUUUGAAAUAUGAAAUAAAAAAUAAAAAAAUAAAAUAAAAAAUAAAAUUUAAGAUAUAAAAAUUUGAAAAUGGUGUUUUUAAAUCUAUGGAUUAUACAUUAAUUAAUUGCAAAUAAAUAAAACAGAGAAAAAAAACUAAUUGAAAGAAAUAUUUAGGAAUGGAUUUUCAUUCUUUUAAAAAAUUAAACUUUUAUAGUUGAAAAAAUAUAGAGUUGAAACAUUAAUUACACUUUACAAAAUAACAACAACAACAAUGAUAAUAACAAAUCUACUCAACUACUCUAUAUAUAAUCAACAAGUUUUUUGGUCUCAAGAGCUUGACCAAAACAAGGGCUGAUUGUAUGUGUAUAUAUAUUAUAUUAAAAAAAAUUUAGAAAUAAGAGGGUUUUUUUUUUUUUUUUUUUUUUUUUUUAUAAAUAUUUUUGCAAAAACAAUUUUUAUCACUUAUGUAGCACAAUGUAAUUCAAAUAGUAAUCCAAAAAGAUUGUUUUGUGUUAAUAAUAUUCAUGUGGUAUCAUUAACCGUAUCACAAUGUUGAAAUUUGGUAUUAAGUAGAAAAAUAUUGCACUUGUGAACCAAUUUUUUGAUAUAAUAUAAUACAAAAUGAAAAAAAGUUGAUAAAGUAUAUAAUUUUUGAAACUUGAUUUGAGCUAUUGAUUUGAGCUAUAAAAGUUAUGUUUUUUAUCUUUUUUAAUUGAUCACUUUAAUGACAUAAUAUAUACUUCAAAAAAUAUUAAAUAUGUACACUUAAUAUUAGAAUGUAUGGCUAAUUAUGUAAUUCAAUUUAGAUUAUUGAAAUUAAUAAAAAAGAAUAUUUAAAUUUUACUUUUAAAAUUUUAAAAAAUAAUCCAUAUUCAUAACAAUUAUCUAUAAAUGCAACAACUUUUAUGUUUCACAACCAACACAAAUACAAAAAUAUUGCAACACAUCAAAUAAAAACUAGAAGAUCAUGUUUCAAAUAUAACUUUAUUUUAAAAAAAUUAUUAGAAUGAUAUUAUUUAGAUUUAUAAUGUCUUUAAAUUAGAUAACCAAAAGAUUAAAGGGAUUUUUUUUGUUAGAUACAAAACACCAAUAAUGUAGAAAAUACAGAAAUAUUUUAUUAAACAACUAUAAAAACUACAAAAAAAUGUAUAAGGUUUGAUUUUAAAAACUACAAAGUAUUGGAAUAGAUAUCAAAUUUUAAAAUUUUGUAUUCUAUUGAUUUUCUAUAUCAUUUAAAAAUAAAAUAAUUUAAAUAUAUAUAUAUAUUUUUAUAAAUUUAUAUUUUUAUGUCUAUUUUUUAAAAUAAUAAUUAAAUAUUUAUUAUAUAAUAUUUAUAUGUAUAAAAUAAAUUAAAGAAAAGAUUCAUAUGAAUAAAGUCUUUAAAUAAAGUUAUAAGUUUUUACAAAAAUAAUAAUUAUUAAAUUAAAAAUUUAUGAUUCAAUAAUAAAUGAAUAACUAAUUAUCUAUUUAUUUUUAAUUUUUUUAAAAAUUAAAAAUUAAAAUUAAUAUAUUUUAAUAUUUAUAAUUAUAUUUAUUUAAAAAUACUUAAAAUUUAUUAUAAUAAAAAAUUAAACAUAUUAUUUUUUUAAUAAUAAAUAAUUUUAAUUUUAAAAAAUUUACAAUGUAGUUUUUCAUGUAAUUAAAUUAGAAUACUUUUUAUGGAAUAAUAGUAUAGAUAUAGAAAUAUUAUAUAAUAUCAUAAAUCAUAAUUUUUUUUAUCCAACCUAUUGUUAAAAAUAUAAAUUUCAAAUGACUAAAAGAUCAAUAUACUCUUGUAUCAUUCAAAAAGACUAAAAAAUUAUUUAUAGAUGGUAUAAUAUUAAACUAAAAUGGCUAUUAUCAAAGACAAAAAGACUAAAGUUUUGAAACAAGACUAAAGACUAAAAAGGCAUUGACAAGAAUGAAGAAGACUUCACUCUUAUCUCCAUAUAUAUUAUUUAACUAAGAGCUACAUGAUACCAUUCUAUAGGAUCUUCGAUACAUGUCCAACUUAUAAGACACAUGUCUUAACUUACAAGGCAAAUUUUCUAUAUGUAUGCUAUAAAGUUAGCUUAUACUACAAGCUACCAAUACAUGCUACAUAUGGCUAAUUUUUUGGCUAAGUUUCUAAUCUAUCAAUUAAUUUCAAAUACAUAUAAAGUCAAAGUCACAUCUAAUAAGCUUCUCUAUAAGAUAUUAUUAAAUUUAUUUAUAUUAGUUUACUUCUAUUUAUUCAUAUUAUUUAGAUAAUUAUUGGAGUAAUUAUAUUUUUCCAUGAUAUUAUUCCCUCUUUUGGGGACAAGUUCCACAAGAAGUGAUAAUUACAUAUUGACAAAGUCUAAGAUACAACAAAUUAUAUUUGCUAAAUAUUCUGAUCUUUGUUUCCUUUGAAGGCAGUUGAUAGGUCCUCUUAGCUUUCAAUAAUAUUUCAUUCUAAGGUAGAAAGACAACCUUCUUAUUUGAUUGUUAUUGAGGUCUUCAUAACUUCUUUUAAAUAAAAUAUUUAUAAUACUAUUAAGAAUCAUUUCUACAUCUAAUAAAAUCACCAAAUAUUAAAAAAGACUCCAAAUAGAUAUCAAAUGCAUUGUCAAAAAGAAAGAGUUUGCUUUAGGAAAAUACAAAGUUUUUGGUUACAACUAGAUAUAAUCAAAUACUAUCUUUCAUUUAAAUAAAUUAUAUUACUUCAUACCAUCUUCAAAUAAAACAUAUAAUAAGUUUUUUAAAAAACUACUUUAUAUAUUAUAUAUAUAUAUAUUAAAUCUUAUUCUCAAAAAUACUAUUUAUAUUCUACAAGCAUUCAAAAUUACUACGUAUAGAAUUCAUGGUAGUUGAUCUAAUUUUGGUAUGAAUAAACACUACAAUCUUAUACUAUCUUAGAAUAGAGCACGUCAUAUUUCUUUAGUAAACUACUUAUCUAUGCUAUAUGCAUAUCAAAGCUUAUUCUUUAAAACAUUGUAUAAAAACCUCAUAAGUAACCAAAGUUAUUGUAUAUAGUAGCUCUUAAUAAUACAUGGCAAUUGAUACCUUUUUUCAUUCAAUUAGGCACCAUAGCUUCACAAUUUGUUAGAUUUGAACAUGUAAUGGCUCUUUAAAAACCUACUUAGUUUACAUACACAUACACACACACACACACACACACAUAAAUAUAUAUAUACCAAGUCUCACUUCCUAAAUUUUUUUAUAACAUACUUUAUGAGCAAAGAAAGCCAUAGAUUAUAUUAAUACAAGGUAGCUAACUCUUCUUUAUUCAAAAGGCAAUACAUCUUCAAACUAAUUCUUAUUAAAGAAAAUAAAAUUCUAAAUUUAAAAGAUUUUUAGAAUUCUUAUAAAAAUAAGAAUAUUUUUUUAAAAUUUCAAAUCUAAAUUCUAAACAUAUUAUGAAAAAACCUUAAAAGAGUGACUAGCUACAUCUAAAGGAAGAAAGCUCGAAUGAAGGAGAAGAAAAGAUGGAUCAAAAAGUCAACACAAGCCUAUAUUGCUCUACCUCAGUUCAUAUCUCUUUACUUCGACACCAUAUCACUCCAUCUCAAGCUUAUAUCAACCUAUUUUGACUUAUUUUUAGAAAUAAACUAUCAAUAUCUAUAACUAUCUUUUUAUUUUCUUUAUUUUUACUUUUUUAAUAUAACUUCUUCAUCUAAACUAUCUAAGAAUAAAUUUAUAGAUUCAUAUAAGAAAGGUAAAAAAAAAUAAUAAAAAUUAGGAUUGAAGUUCAAUAAAUUUUAAAGAAAGUAAAAGCCUCAUGUAUAUAACAUCAAAUACCAAGUCAUGAACUUGGUUGGUUGGUUAAAUUCAUACUCUUCAAGCUAGUUUGGAUAUGAUUUUUGUCAAAUUUGUUGAUUGAUACAAGAAAUGUAUAGCUUGGAACUACUAGUGUGAAUAGCAGGUAAGAAAAUAUAAUCAACUGACUUCCUAUUCUUUGAAUUGUGAUAAGAUGCAAUCUAUUCAAAAUUUAAGGUUCUAACUAUAAUCUUUUUUUUCACCACUUCAUUCCUUUGAUCUUUCAUUUUUUUUCCUAUAUUUUAAUUUUAUUUUGGUUUUUUUUAUUUUUUAUUUUUUUAAAAUUCUUUAUAUUAAACUAAAUUUUUAUAAUAUUUUAUAAUAUUUUUACAUAUUAUGCCACUUUUCAACAUAACAACAUUGCAUCUUGCCAUCUAUUUGAAAUGAAACAUGUCUUUUUUUAAAGAUCUUCAUCUCUAUUGCGUUGUCUUGAAUUGUGUGACAAUCAUAAUGUCUUAUUUGAUAAGUUAGCAAAAAAUAGCUUUUCAGUUGAAUUUGUUGGUUGUUAGUUUUUUAUCUUGUUAAUUCUAUAAAUAUAUAAAAAUUAUAAUCAAAUAUAGAAAUUAGAAUAUAAUCUUUCUUGAACUAUAUUUUUUUUAUAACAAAGAUUUGUUAUUUUUCAUCUUAAUUUUAAUAGAUGAUAUUGAUGAAAAGUAUCAAUCUUAUUUUUUGUAUUUGCUAGAUUCUUGAUAAGCUCUCAUGUACAUUUACUAAUAUUAUAUCUAUAUCAAUGAAUAAGAUUUUUCAACCUAUUUUUGCAUUGUUUUAAAUCUUAGAAUUUGUACACCUUGAAUUUUUUAUUAUUUUUUAACUUUUAUAGAAUGAAGUGGCAUUUGUCUUCUUCUCAAGAUAUUUAUUGUUUUAUAUGGCUCAAGAAGAGAUACGUAGAAUAUGAGAUGGAUCUUCAUAGAUUUUUGUGGAUGUAAUCAUUAAGACACUACAUUGAUUUGUUUACAAAUAAGAAAUGGUCCGAGUCUAUAGUAAUUCUAUUUAUCACAAAAGCAACUAGUCUUAAUAUUGUAACAAAGUAACUGUAUAUUAUUGCUAAUAUGGAAUUAAUAUUGCUUCUUUCUAUAGGCAUUUUUAUUGAUCUUUUGUUAUUUUUGAGAUUCUUUUUAUUAUACCAUCAUUGUUGUAUGUAGCUCAAAUAAAUGACUUAUUAAAUCUUCAUUGUAGGAUUAUUAAUUUGUAAAAUAUCAAAAGCAUUAAAUUAAAGAUAAUAAUUAUAUUUGAUAAAAAAGGUAUUUUUUAUAUAGAAAAAUAUAUCAUAUAAUUAGAAGCAAAUUCUAUCAAUAGUAAAAAAAUUAUUUAAUCAUCUUUUUGGUAGUUGAUGGUAUACCUCAAUAUUACUUUAAAACUUAAUAUAUGCACUUUAUUUGUCCAUUAGUUUGAGGAUGAAAAGUCAAAGAUAGUUUUUUUUCCACUUUUAGAAUCUUAACAAGAUUUUUUAAAAAUCUUGAUAUAAAUUGAAUUGUCUUAUUUGAUAUAAUAUCUUAGGAUAAUUUAUAAUAAUAAUAGAUGUUAUUAAUGAAAAGCUUAGUUGUUCUUUCACUUGUGAUAGAUUUUGUAUAUGAUACAAAAUUUAUCAUCUUGAUUAAAUGAUCUAUUAUCACAAAUAUAGAAUCAUAAGAAUAUGAAAUUAGAAGAUCCAUGAUAACAUAGAAACAAAAGACCAUGGUUUUUUUGAAAUAGAAAAUGGCUAAAAAAAUCCAUUAGUUUGAUACAAGGAGUUUUUGACUUUGAACAAUUAUCACAUGAUUGUACAAAAUCUUUAAAUUAUCCUCCAUAUUUGAAGCUAUUAAAAAUCUCCAGAUACUAGCUUCAAAGUCUUAUUGUAUUCAAAAUGUCCAACUCUUGGAAAAUCAUGACAAGUUUGAAGAAUACAUAAUUAUAUUUUAUCUUUUAGAAUAUAUUAUUAUUCUUUAAAGUAAAAUAUAUUAUUUUAAAAUUUAAACUUAGAAAUAUCAUUAAAUUUUUAAAAACUAUUUUUAAUGUUAUGAAUAAGUGGAUCAAAGGACAUACUUGAUUGAACUUGCUUAAAAAAAAUUGAAUCAAUAGUCGUGUUAAUUUCAUCUCUUAAAGUUAAAAAUACUUUAGAUUCAAAAAAAUCAUUCUUUAUUGAUCAAAAGUUGUAUAUUUUUCUUUGGAUGUUAGAUAAAAAUAUCUAGAAAAGACAUCUUAUAAACCUUGUUGUUUUUUGAAUCAAUAAUUAAUUUUGAAAUCAAAUCUUAAUGAAGAUAUACUCCAACAAGCUUGAAAACGAUUCAAAAUAAGUAUUGGUGUGAAAUAUUUGAAGUUUUUAUAAUCUAUAUACAUUGUGAUUAGAUUAGAUGCGCAUUCUAGAUAAUGAAGUUAUUUUUAAAACAAAUACAUGAUUGCAAGAAGCUCUUUAUUGUGGAUCUCAUAGUUGAUUUUGGUUGCUAAAAGGUUUUUAGAAUGAAAAGCUAUGAAGUAGAAUUUAUUUUUUAUUCCCAUUUGUAAGAACACUACAUUCAUAGCAAAAUUUGAUGUAUCUAUUUUUAUAAAGAAUGCCUUGAAAAAAUUGGUGUAAUACAAGAUUAGUGCAAAAAUAAAUACUAUCUUCAAGGCUUAAAAAAUUUACUUCAACUUCUUUGUUCCACUCAAAUUUGUCUUUAAUUGUCAAAUGUAUAAAAAGAACUGCAACUUAAAAAAAGUUUUUGAUAAAGAUGUAGUAAUAAUUGGUAAAUCAAAAAAAAAAUUCUACAUCUUUAAUUAUUUUUGAAAACUUUUAAUCCAUGAUAAUUUGUACCUUCUUAAGAUCUAUCAUAAAACCAUCAUUUGAAAUGAUAUAUACUAAAAAUUUAACUUAAAUAAUGUAAAAUAUACUCUUUUUGAUAUUAACAUAUAGUCUUAUAUCUUUCAAUUUUUGUAACAUAUAACAAAUAUAAUUUUUUACUCUUUUAUAUUCUUAAAGUAGAUUAAAAUAUUGUCUAGAUAAUAGCUGAUAAAAUCAUCAUGAAAUUCAUAAAAGAUAUCAUUCAUUAGAUAUUGAAAAACACCUAGUUCAUUUGUAAGUCCAAAAAGUAUGAUAUUAAAUUUUAAAUUUCUAUAUUUGAUUUAAAAUAUAGAAAAUUUUUAUUUAUUCUUUUAAUAUGUAUUAAGUUAUAUAAUUUUUAUAGAUCUAUUUUUGUAAAGAUCUUUAUUUAAUUGAGUUGAUAAAAAAGUCCUAAAAUCAAAGAUAAAUGAUACUUAUUGAAAUAAGGCUUGUCUAUUUCAAAGGUCUAAGAACAUUCUAAUCCAUAGCAAUAUAAAACCUCAUCACAAAAUAAGAAAAAAUGGACCAAAAUAAAAUUAAAAAAAACUAAAUAGAAUUAGACACAAAAAAUAAAAUUGAGCAAAUAGAAAUAAAAUAGAACAAAAUUAAACAUAAAGAUGCAAAACCAAUUUUUACUAAGAAAAAAGAUUUGAAUCUAUACUUAAUCAAAUACCCCAAAGGCCCUAAUUAGUCCUAUUUAUACUUAGUUCUAUCACCUUAGACUUUCUAGAAUGUUCCUAGAUGAUGGAUCCCACUUAGAUAAUUGUCCUAAAUUCUUUUUAGAAGAUUCUAUGAUGGAUCCUACCUAGAUAACUAUCAAAAGUUCUUUUUAGAAGGUUCCAUGGUAGAUCCUAUCUAAAUAAUUACCUUAAGCUCUUUUUAGAAUGUUCUACAAUGGAUCCUACAUAAUUCACUAACCUAGCUCCAAUUCUAGAAACUUCCAUAACUUUUCAAAUAUGGUUCCAACUAUCUAUCCCUAUAUAUCAACAAUAUAAAUAUCUUAUCUGUAUCCUGUUACAGUUAAUUUUUUUCAACUAAUGCAGAACAUCCUCGUUUUGCUCCUGAUGGUGUGUCCAAAUUAUCUCUUAGCAAUGAGUGAGGUUUUGUUCAGGUUUCCAUAUUGCAUUGUAGAUAGAAUAACCUUUUCAAAGAAUUUUUUACUAAAGUUAUAGACGUUCAUUGCCAUGGCAAAGGUAGUGAUGCUCCAAAAUACUAUGUACUUCACAUUUUUCUUAGUCAUCAACUACAAUUGAUGGUAGUGGUGGUUAAUGUCGAUCCAAAAAAUACUUUGGCUUAAUAUAAAAUUUCUUUAGUUGUAAAACAUGAAAGACUAAAUGGAUUCAAAUAUGUGGCAGAAGCUCAAGGCGGUAUGCAAUAUCAAAAAUCAUUGUAAAAAUGUGAAAAGGUCCUAGCAUAUCAGGUGCUAGUUUAUAGAUUUGAGUUGAUGUAGUAAGUAGUAAAUUGGGAUUGGAGAGUAAUACCUAAUCAUCUUCCUAGAAGGUCUUGUAUUCUUAGUAGUUAUUUGCUGUCAUAUUAUUAAUACUUAUAAUAUGUAAAAAUUGAUUAAAAUAUAUUUUAUAUUUAUAAGUCUUGAUGUAUAUUAAAAUGGUUAAUAAAUUAAAUUAAAAAAAUUAGAUAUAAGAAACUUUAUUUUAAAUUUUAUCUAUUCUUAUUAUAAUAUUUAAAUGAUAUAAGAUUUAAAUAUUUAGUAUAGAGCUUUAAGAGAAGGUGAAAGACUAAAGAUAAAAAUCUAAAUUAUUAGGAGACUUAUAAAGAAGAAUGAAAUGAAGGCACAGUGAGAUCAAGGCAAAAGAUAAAGAUCUUUAUUUCUAUUAAUUGAAGGCUACAAAAUUGUAGAAUAGAUAUUAAUUCGUUUUUGAAAGAUAUUAGUAAAAUAUAUUAAUAGUCCAUAUAAUAGGAAAUUUAGGAGGAUAGAUGAGUGAUUUAAUUCUUAAAAGUGGUUAAUUACAGAAUUACGGUUAAAAUCUGGAGAAUCAGGGGAAAGUACAUAGGAGUUGUAGAAGUUAAUUAGGGUGCCAAACUAUGAUAGUCAUGAGUCGAGGGCCAUCGCUGUGAUAGUGUGAGCUAAGGUAAGCUUGGUGCUACCUCUUUUCUUUUGUUUGUUAUUUUCUUUGAAUAAAAAGAUUGAGAGUUUCUGAAUAUUGUGAAGUGAAUUAUGGAAUAGAAAUGUGAUUGAUAUUAUUUGAGAAGAAGAAAGAUUGAAUGCUGAAAUCUGAUUGUAGUUCAGCAGAGAGAAUGAGUCUAUGUUUGUGUGAAACACCAUAAUGUGAAUGGCAAUUUUGUAUGAAGAAUUCUAGUGAUUGGAAUGAGGGUAAUUGUGUGCUGAAAGCUGUGAGGGCGCAGUAUUACAGUUGGAGAUUAUGAUGGUGAAUAUAUUGGUGGAAAUAGCAGUUAUUGGUAUGACUAAAUUGAUGUAAAGAAGAGAUCGAUAAGGUGAAGGAAGAGAUUAUAGUUUCCUUAUGUGUUCAGAUAUUGAAAAUAGAGAUGAUACAUUUAGGAGGUAAUUGAUUGUGUGAUCCUAACGUGAACGCUUAAGCAACUAGUCAUUCCUCGUAUUCAAAUCCGACUAUACGGAUUUAUUCUCAUUAGAUUAAUUUAGAAUAAGUAAAACGAACAAUCACAAAAAUAUAUUUUAAUCAAUUUUUAGGCCCAAUGGAUAUUUAGCAAGCUGUUUGCAAUCAUAAGAAGGAAUUUGAAAACUUCAAAACAAUAAUUUGAGAAUUAAAAGCAAGGAUUCUAAGGUUUAAGAUUUGAACUACAAUUUUUGUACAAAUUUUAGAGGAUUUGCAUUUAGGAUGAUGAAGUUAUAGCCAUUUAAAAUUGAGGUGUCUUUUUAAAAUAUAUUGUUGCUAUUUUGAAGAUACAAGGAAUUUUAUGAUAGAUUUUGGAGAUCAAAAGAUGCGGACACUAAGGUGAUUUUAAGAUCUAUAUCUUUUGUGAAGGAAUUUUUAUAUUUAAAAUUUGUACAAAGAAGUUAUAGAGUGUUGAAGAUAGAACAUGUAAUUUAUAGGUAGUAAAUGAGUUGUUUUAUUAAUAGUAAUGGUUGGAGCAAUAUCUUGAGUUUUUAGAUGAAUUUUUGGCUAAAAAUUUCCAAACGUAUGUAUUAUUGAGUUAAAAAGCUAUAUUAUAAGAUUUUAUGGUAUUUAAAUACUGAAUUUAUGAAAUAUGAAGAAAUUUGCACAUAAGUAUAUGUAAGUAAGGAUUUGAAGCUAUUUUUAGAAUUUUGAAGAUAUCUCAAGAUUCAUAAUGAAUUUAUGGUUGAAUUUUUUUGUGAUAGUUGUUAAAAAUACAUCAAUGCUUUAUGUAAAAUUUGGAUUUGUUUGGACAGUUGAAUCGUGAGAUAUAAGCUAUCAAAAUUUGAAAAGAAUUUAUCUUAAGGAUAUACAAGUUUUUUAUAAUAUUUUCAUAACAUUUUUGGUGAUCUUUGGUACUUAAGGCUCAUGUACUGAUGUAAUUGCUCCUAUAGAAAUAAAUUUAUAUGUAGACUUAAUAUUUUUUUUAUCUAAAAUCUUGGUUUAGCAUUUAGUAAUAACGAGAAGCCCAUUGCUUUCUUAAGGCAAAUUCUCUCUACCACAAUAUGGCAUAUUGCUUCUAUUGAUUUUAUGUAGUAAAGAGGCAAUGUUGUACUUCUUCUAAGGCUGUUCUAAGUAGUUGUAUAAACUCUUUUGCUCUUAGAUUAUUAAUGUCAAUGGAAAAAUUGAGAGUUGUUAGUGUAAUUGGAUGUUGACUAAUAUUAAAGGAAAAUGGUGAAUAAUUCCAAUGGUAUCAUUGUAAGCAAACUCUAAGAUCAUCAAAUAUUCAUUCCAAUCAUUAUGAUGAAUUAUCACAAAUGCCUACAAUAUAUCUUUUAAGAUUCAAUUUGUAUGCUUUCUUUAUCUAUUUGAUUGGGGAUAAAAAGUUGUAGAUAUGACAAGUCAUGUGCCUAGUAGCUUCAACAAGGCUUAUCAAAAACUUCCAUAAAAGCAUGGAUCUUAAUCUAAAAUGAUGAUACAAAGUAAUCCAUAGUGGUGAAAGAUAGUAUCAAAGAAGACUUACGUAAGUGCUAGGGCAUCAAUAUUUGAACGUAUUAUAGCCAAAUGAAGUUGCUUUGAGAGUUGAUCCACAAAGAUAGCAAUUGUAGUGUGAUUGUAAGGUAACUGCAGUGAAUAUGUAAUAAGAUCUAUAGUCAUCUACUCCCAAUGUGCCGUAGGUAGUGAAAAUGGCUGUAAUAAUCUAAGAGACAUUAUUAUAUUACGUGGCAUUUGACUUGAGAAUGCAUCCAGCACCUGAUUAUAGAAGAUAAAAAAAAUUACAACAACAAGUCUUAACAACUCAAAUAGAUUUUAAAUUAAAUUAUAAUUAAAGAUUAGUAAAUACAAUCAAACAUCAAUCAAAUUCAAUUAAAAUUUCAAAGGAAUUACAUAAGAAAUACAAAGAAUUCUUAGAGAUCCUUUUAAGAAAUCAUAAAGAAAUAACAUAGAAAUUGAUAAACCUAGUUAAAUCUUGGUCAAACCCUAAUCAAACCUUAAUCAAAUCUUAAUCAAAUACUAAAUAGCCCUAAUCAAAUUCUAAAAAUUUUUUAAUCAAACUCCAAACAAAUCUUAACCAAAUCCUAAUCAAAUCCUAAAUAAACCCUAGUCAAAUCCUAAAUAAGUCCUAAUCAAACCUUAGACAAACUCUAGACAAAUCCUAAGUAAAUCCUAAUCAAAUCCUAAAUAAACUCUAUAUAAAUCCUAUUCAAAUCCUAAAUCCUAACCAAACCUUAAAUCAAAUCCAAAAUCGGAAUCCUAAUUCUAACAAAAUCCAAAUCGAUCCCAAGUAAUUCCUAUAAUAGAUUUAAAUCUCAAUAACUAAUGAAUGAAUCAUUGAUUUGAACUCAAAUUUUAUACACCUCUUAAUAAUUAAAUUUAUAAUGAAUAUAAAAAUUUGAAAAAGAUCAGAAUUACCUAAUAGACGAUAACUUCAAAAAUGUGCUCAAGUGUCACUCGACUUCCUUCUCUGACCUUGAUGCCAAUCUUUUAAAACCAAUUACUCCUGAUUGAACUAUUACUUUGCUUCCAAACUUUAUAUAUUUGUUAAAAAUCAAGCAGACUAUCUUUGUGAAAAAAAAUUUACUUCAAUCUAAGUGGCAGAUUUACAGAUAUCUAAGAAAACCUCAUUGGUCCUCAAAAUCCUAAAUUUUGAAACCAUAACCCACAAGAACUUUUAUGCCUUUCAAUCUAAUCAUUUAAUCAAAUCCAAAUUCACAGCACACACGAAGCACAACUAUAUCGACAAACCUAAUUUUUUGUACCUAUAGAUCUAUUGCCAAACUUACAAAAUUCUCCAAAAAAUAUCACCCAUUUUAUUUCACAAAUCUAGAGACAUCCAAAACAAAUCCCAACUUUGCAAAGCUCUUACAAAGUCAAUACACACUCAAAUCUCUCCAAAUAAAUGCUCAAAGAAAUUUCAUCAAAUCAACUAUUAGAUCUUAUUUUUUAAUUUCUAAAAGAACCCUGGAAUCAUCAUCAAGGCUUGGAAUCUAAUUUUGAUCCUAAUUAGUAAGUGGUCCUCUUUGAGUACGAAUUUUUGAAUUUCUAAGGUAAUUUUUGCUAUAUACUACACUUAACUUCUUUUCAAAGGUGCCUAUAUUAUUUAUUUUUCUAAAAUAUCUUAUUUUACUCUAUUUAUGGUCCUAUAAAAUAAAUAGAAGCCUAUUUUGUAAAAAGCAGUAUUAGAAUCUUUAAUUUUUUUUAUUCUUUGAUUAUUACCUAUUUUUCCAAGAUAAUUUGUUAUAAUAUAUUUGAAAUAAGAUCUUCAAAAAUAUGAUAUUUUCUUCAUCAUUUCACUUAUUAGCCAUUUUACAUCACAACAACAUUAUGUUGCAUUCUUUAUUAUAUUGAUAUGAUUCACAUGAAAGCACAAAAGCUCAAAUAUUAAGAUUCAAAUCUAUCUAAAAUUAUGUUUUUGAGAUCCAUUUUAGAGUCUUCUCUUGCCUUAGAUGUCCAAAUAUUAGGAUGUCAUGUCUUUCUUGAAGUAUACACAUUUGGAGUUUAACAUUUUUAGGUAUAUAAAUCUGCUUCUUGAAAUAGAGCAAGCCAUGACUAAGGCUGUAAUCUUGAUAUUACAUAUUUUCCAUCUUCACCCUAUUACUAACCAUCUUGAAAUAAGCAUCCCAAUGCAUAGCUUCCUUCCAUUCUACUUCUUCAGUUAGAUUUGAAAUAAUACUACUAAUAGUAGCAACUUUUGUCUUAUCUCCAAAUUUAGUCUUUAAGUCUAGUCUUCAUAAUAAGCUGUCUAACAUAGCAUAUUGUCACCCUUGCUUACAUUCAAGCUAAAUAUUAAAAAGUUACAAUUGUUCUUUUCAAUGAUGAUGUUGUGAUUUUAUAUUUUCCAAAUACAAAUUUUGUAGCAAGAAUCCAUGAUUAGUCCAAAUAACCACUGGCUUCCUCAAUAGAUAGUAUUGCUAUAUCUUUGUGGCAUAUAUAAUUGAUAAUUAUUUUCAAUCACGUACAGAGUAAUUACACUUUAUCUUUCUAAGCUUCCAUGAUUUAUAUGCUACAGGUUGAAGGCUUCUACCAAAGUCUUAUUAGAAGAGCGUUGUCGUAUUACGUGGCAUUUGACUUGAAAAUGCAUUAGGCACCUAGCUAUAGAAGAUAAAAAGAAAAUUGCAACAAGUCCUAACAACUCUAAUAGAUUCUUAAACAAAUUAUAAUUAAUGAUUAACAAAUAUAAUCAAACAUCAAUAAAAUUCAAUCAAAAUUUCAGAAAAGUUAUAUAAGAAACACAAAGUAUUCCUAAAGAUCUUUUAAAGAAAUCAUAAAGAAAUAACAUAGAAUUCAAAAAUAUACUAAAAUAGAAAUCUUAAUAAAAUAUUAAAAUAUAAAUUUUAAUUAAAUUCUAAUAAAAAUCUAAUCAAGUUCUAAUCAAAUUCUAAUCAAAUCCUAAUCAAAUUCUAAACAAAUCCUAAUUAAAUCCUAAACAAACCUUAAUCAAAUCCUAAUCAAAUCCUAAAUAAAUUCUAAAUAAAUUCUAACCAAAUUUUAAAUAAAAUCUAAACAAAAUCUAAAAGAAUCUUAAAUAAAUCAUAAAAAAAUCCAAACAAAUCUUAAACAAAUCCUAACCAAAUCCUAAAUAAAUCCUAAAUAAAACUCUAAACAAAAUCUAACAAAAUUCUAGUCAAAUCCUAACCGAAUCCUAAAUAAACCUUAGUAAUUCAUACAGCAAAUUUAAACCUCAAUAACUAAUGAAUGAACCAUUGAUUUUAACUCAAAUUUUGCACACCUCUUAACAAUUAAGUUGAAAACAAGUACAAAGUUUUUGAAGAAGAUCAAACUCACCAAAAAGAUUGAUCCUAAUAUUUGCUUCAAUGUUGGCCACCUUCCUUCUCUAAUUUGAAUGUGGAAUUUUCAAUGCCAAUAUCUCCUUAUUGAAUUGUUUAAUUGAUUUCAAAUUUUUUACAUACGUACAAAAAUAAGUCUAUAAUCUACAUACAUAAUUUUUACUCUAAUUCAACUAAUAGAUUGCAAGAAAUCUCAGAAACUCUCACUAGACCUAAAACUCUACUUUUUGAGACCCCAACCCACUUAAACCUCAAUAAUCCUUGAUCUAAGUGUCAUGGACACAGAAUACAGACUUGAUAUCUACCAAGAAGUUUAAGAAGAACUGGCAAGAACUAGAUUAAUCAGAUGAAUACAAGAACAACACCAGAGAGGUGAGCUAGAGCUCUAAGAGAUGUGUUGUCGAGACUGAAGAAUUCUUCAGCCUCGAUUCCAAUAUAUACUCCUAUUUAGGAAGCUUCUCAAGCAACUUCUACCAACUAGGAAGCUUCUAGAAGGUUCUAGAGACUUGCUUCUAGAAGGUUCUAGAAACUUAUCUCUAGAAGGUUCUAAGGACUAUGUCCCUAAUAUCUUCUAUCAACUAAGAAGCUUCUAGAAGAUUCCAGAGACUUGCUUCUAGAAGGUUCUAGAAGCUUGUCUCUAGAAGGUUCUAGAAACUUGUCUCUAGAAGGUUCUAAGGACUAUGUUCCUAACAUCACCCCCUCCUUUAGCUUCGAGGUCUCUGAGAAGCAAUGUUGUUGUCAAUCAGUACCAAUGCAAGAAAAUGAAGAUCUGUCGCAUAACGUCUGCUAUGAACUCUAACUGUUGUUCACGAGGUAAGUGGUUCAUCGACCCUUGAAGCCAACGGUAGUGGCCCACUCCUUCAACUUCUGACCAAGCAUGAACUUCCGUGUCUUUAUUGUGAAAUUGUCCUGCAAAUAAGCCUUCUGGUUGACCAUUAAGCAGGCUCGGACUCAAAUACAAUCAUCAGUGAUCGAUUACUUGGUAUCCUCCGUCGUCGUCAUGGUACAGGUGGUUCUUCAUCUUGGGGUCACCUUCGUGAGUUAGUUGGUUGAGAUAAUCUAACUGGCAUAGUAUCUAUCUCUUGGCUAUCCAUAUCAAAAGACCAAACUAUGGUUGCUGAAAAAAUUCUAUUUUAUCUUGGAGAAAAUAACUACAUCAACUACGAAUUUUAGUGGUGCUCUCCUCCUUUCUUAUAUUCUUGGAUGAGUAAGCUUCAGAAGGAAGCUAUCGUCGAAUCGGCUUAGGUUUAUGAGGAUGUUGUUGAUGAAACUCCUAUACCUUUUGCGGCGCAUUGGCGAGAUUUUCAGCUGGCUCCCACGUUCGCUCAUUAAUGUCGUAGCCGCACCAAUGAACAAGAUACUCCAACUUGCCCCACCUUCGCCGUGAAUCCAGUACCUUUUCAACCUCGUAUUCCUCAUGGUUCUCGAUCUCAAUACUAGGUGGCGAACAUUGCACUCUUCCAAGAAAAGUCGACUCUCGAUAAGGCUCCAACAGAGAAACAUGAAAGACUGGAUGUACCUUCAUAGAAGCCAUUAAUUCCAGACGGUACGCCACUGGAUUGAUUUGCUUCUGGAUGAUAAAUGGUCCCAAUCUUCGAUAGUCCAACUUAUCACAUGGUCGCUUGGUCUUGAUAUUCCGUCGAAGAAGCCAUGCUUUAUCUCCAAUUUUUAAAGUAGGUGCUUGAUUCCGAAAUCUAUCUGCACACGCCUUGUAGGAUUCUUGAGCGGAUUGUAAUUGAAGCUUCAACGUAUUUUGAAGCUCUGAUAGUUGUUUCGUAAAUCCUUCAGCUGCUGGAUUGUUAUUGGUUGAUGGAUUCAAUAAAUCAAGCUUCGGAUGAUACCCAUAGUUGGAAAAGAAUGGUGUGUAUUGAGUCGAUGCAUGGAGGGUGUUGUUAUAUGCAAACUCAGCUAGCGGCAGAUAUGUCGUCCAAUCGUCUUACUGAUAGUUGAUGCUGCAUCGUAAGUAUUGUUCCAAGAUUUGGUUCACCUGUUCCGUUUGGCCGUCAGUUUGAAGAUGAAAAGCUGAAGAAAGCUUGAUAUCCACCUUCAGUAUCUCAAAGAGAGAUUUCCAAAACUUUGAUACAAACUGGGUUCCUCGAUCUGAUAUGAUAUCAUCUGGUAGUCCAUGAUAACGAUACACAUUAUCGAGAAAGAGCCUUGCUGUGACUUCACUGGACGAUGUCUUCUUGCAAGGGACAAAGUGUCACGGACAUACAUAUAAUUACCUAUAUGAAUAGAUAAAAGUAUGUAAAAGUAGGUUAAUUGUAUAAUAUCUUCUAGAAAAGCUUCUUAGAAGCUUCAUAGACGCUGCUUUGACUUUAUAGGAGUCUAUAGUUGACUUUUAGGUUAGAAACUUGGUCAACAAGUUAGCCAUGUGCCACGCAUGUUGGAAGCUUAAAGAACAAGCUAACUACGUGGUCCAUCCAUAGAAAACUUGCCUUGCAAGCAAAGGCAUGUGGCCUAGAAAGUCAACAUAUACUGGAGGUCUUAUAGAACAUCGCCACGUGGCUUCUAGUUAGAUAGUAUAUAUAGAGGCAAGAGUGAAGCCCUCUUCACUCUUGUCAACUCCUUUCUUGCUUCUAGUCUAGUUUCAAGGGUCUCUAGUUUUCUUGUAUUUUGGCAAUAGCCAUUCCAGUUUCUUUCUUAAUAUACAUAUUUCUAUUUUGUCCUAUUUCUUUUUGAGAAAAGUCUCACUUACUCUUUAGCUUUCAUCGAGUUCUUGUCCUUGACAGAUUGACAAGAGUACACUUACAAUAUCAGAGCUUUGUCUUUUCUUGAUUAAGAGUGGAUUACCCCUUUUUCUUGAUAAGACAUAAGCGCAUUAGAAGUUGCGGAUUACCCUCUUUUAAACUGAUAUUGUUCUUAGUAUUUUCUUUGUUAUCAAUUCCUCUCUUCUAUUUGUUUUGAGCGUUAUUAGACAUCUUCUCUUUUCUAAGUGCUACUAUGGCAGAGCUUGUUGAAAUAAAGAGUGCAAUGGCACAGAUGCAAGAACAAUUGAGGGAGUUAAUGCUUGCGAUGCAUCAACUCAAUUUACCACCACAAGGAGCAACAAGAAUGGUAGGAAGUGAAGAUAUAGAGAUGAUUGGGGCUGCUUCAACAUCUGCACCAAACCAUGUCCCUUCUCCCAGAAUGGAACACCCUUCGAGUGUUAGAGAACCGAGAGUUGCCUUGCCCGAGAAGUUUGAUGGUACCAGAUCCAAGUUUCGAGGAUUCAUCAAUCAGGUCCAACUAGUGAUUGAACUUCAACCCCAGAGCUAUCCAACUCCAGGGUCACAAGUAAGAUUCAUUGGUACACUUCUUUCAGGUUCAGCAUUGUCAUGGUUUUCAUCUUUUCUUGAACGACGAGAUCCAAUAUUGGAUAAUCUGGAGGCUUUUUUGGCGGAGUUUCGAUCCAUGUUUGGAGAACAUGAUGCAAUUCGUGUUGCAACCAACAAGAUCCGUAUUUUGCGACAAGGCAAUCGAUCAGUAACAUUAUAUGCUUCGCAAUUUCGACAACUUGCAACUGAUAUCAAGUGGGAUGAUGCCGCAAUUGUGAGUCAAUUUCUCUACGGAUUACAAUAUGAGGUAAAGAAAUUGAUGCUUAAUUUACCUGAUCCUCAAACAUUGAGUCAAGCAAUUGACUUUGCUGUGAAGUGCGACAAUCGACUUUUUAAAUUUCGAUCCGAGAGUCGCAUAAGUGGGCCUCAACGUUACUACAAUUCAAUGGCAAUACCGACGUCUCCUCAACACAUACCUUCAGAAGUAGAGGAUAUGCAAAUUGAUGCGGUACGUUUCAAACCUCUUACUGAGCAAGAAAAGUCUCGUCGUCGACAAGAAGGAUUGUGCUUAUAUUGUGGAGAACCUAAGCACACUGCUCAACAUUGUCCAAAGAAGCGACGUAACUACAAAAUGAGGAGUACGGCUGUCAAAGAAGACAGUAUGUCGGAAAACGAGUACGUCCAGCUACAAUAGGGACCGUGCGGCUGGAAUCUUGUACAACUUCUAAUAAAGGUCCUAUCCUCUCCUCAGAACCAUCUCCUUGUUUUAUAAUAGAUGUGCGUUUAGGACCUAAUAAUUACAAAGCCUCUUCCUUGGUAGAUUCAGGAGCCUCAUCUUGUUUUUUAGAUGAAGAAUUUGCUAGAUGUCAUAGAAUAUCAUUAAUACAAAAAACUAAACCUGUACACGUAGAAGUCAUAGAUGGUCGUCCGUUGUCUUCUGGAGAUGUAACUCACGAAAUACUUCCUGUAGAUGUAGUAAUAAAUGGUCAUAGUAGUUGCGUAAUUUUUAAUAUAAUUAGAUCUCCCUCUAAUCCAGUAAUUUUAGGCUUAUCAUGGUUAGAAAAGUAUAAUCCUCGAAUAGAUUGGAUUUCUCGUAAACUUGAUUUUCCUCGGAGCAUUAGUAACAGUUCUAUUAAUCAAGUAAAAAACCAUGAGUCCAGUAUAGUAAAACCCGCACUUAUAGGUGCAAAAGCAUUUAUACACGCAGCAAAAGAAGGAUCAACUUUUGCUAUUUAUGCUGCACCUAUUUCUGAAAGCGUAAAGACUUCAAGUGGCAUUCCAAGUCAAUAUCAAGAUUAUCAAGACAUUUUUGAGAAAAAGAAUGCAGAUAUUCUUCCUGAGCAUCGCCCAUACGAUUGUUCAAUCGAUCUCAAGGAAGGAACUCAGCCACCAUUUGGACCAAUUUACAGUUUAUCGCAAGAUGAGUUGGCUGAACUCAAGACAUAUAUUGACGAGAAUUUAGCGAAGAAUUUCAUACGCCAUUCAAAAUCUCCAGCAGGAGCUCCAAUUUUAUUCGUAAAGAAAAAAGAUGGAUCUUUACGAAUGUGUGUUGACUAUCGAGGACUCAACAAGAUCACAAUCAAGAACAGGUAUCCAUUACCUUUGAUAUCAGGACUCCUUGACCAGUUAAAUCAAGCUAAGAUCUAUACAAAAAUAGAUCUAAGAGGAGCAUAUAAUCUAGUACGGAUCAAAGAAGGAGAUGAAUGGAAGACUGCGUUUCGAACCAGGUACGGGCAUUUUGAAUAUAAUGUCAUGCCUUUUGGACUCACGAAUGCACCAGCUGCUUUUCAACAUCUCAUGAAUGAUGUAUUUCGUGAAUUCUUAGACAAUUUUGUCGUCUACUACCUAGACGAUAUCCUGAUUUAUUCUAAGAAUGUUGAAGAACAUGAAAUACAUGUUCGUCAAGUAUUACAAAAACUCAGAGAUGCAGGAUUGUACGCCAAGAUGGAAAAGUGUGUAUUUCACACUACUCAAGUUGACUUUUUAGGAUACAUCAUUUCAAAUGAUGGUCUUAUGAUGGAUUCUAAGAAAGUCCAAACAAUCAUGGAUUGGAAGAUUCCAAAGACUGUAAGAGAUGUUCAAUGUUUCUUGGGAUUUGCCAAUUACUAUCGGAUCUUCAUCAAAGACUUCUCACGAGUUGCAGCUCCACUUACACGCUUGACUAGUAAAGAUAAAUUCCAAUGGAAUCAACAAGCGGAAGCAGCAUUUGAAGCCUUGAAGACAUCGUUUGUCUCUGCACCAGUCUUAUAUCGUGUUGACUUUUCCAAGGCAUUUUUUAUGGAAACAGACGCAUCGGAUUUUGCCUUGGGUGCAGUUUUAUCACAAAUGGGAACAGAUGACAAACUUCAUCCGAUAGCUUUUCAUUCAAGAAAAUUCUCAGCAGCCGAGAUCAAUUAUGAGAUCCACGAUAAAGAACUUCUUGCAAUCGUGGAUUCUUUUCAAGAAUGGCGUCAUUAUCUAAAAGGUGCUUCUAGUCCAGUCAUUGUGUAUACAGAUCACAAGAACCUCGAGUAUUUCAUGUCAGCACGCGUGUUGAAUCGUCGUCAAGCUCGUUGGAGUAUGUCUUUGUCAAGAUUCGACUUCAUUAUCACUUAUCGACCAGGAAAACAACAAGGUUUGUCCGAUGCCCUGUCUAGACGUUCUUAUUUUGCACCAAAAGAAGGAGAUGCAGCUUUUGAGCAACAAAGAACGGUCCUCUUGAAACCGGAGCAAUUUCAUCUCCGAGCAGUGAAAUCAACAUUGACUGUUGAUUCAACUUUUCUCAAGCAAAACCAGUCCAGUAUGUCCUCAGACCCUCUUGUUCAUGAUAUCGAGAAUAAUUCUUCCAAGUCUCAUGAUUCUUCUCAGUUCGAGUUCAAGAAUAAUCUAUUAUAUUUUGAAGGACGCCUAUAUGUUCCAGAAGGAAAAGCACGUUUGCGUGUUCUUCAAGCACGUCAUGACUUUCCAGCAGCAGGGCACUUUGGAUAUAAUAAGACUUUGGAACUCAUAUCAAGAGAUUUUUGGUGGCCACAAAUGUGGAAGUCAGUCAAAGACUUUGUACAAUCAUGUGAUAUUUGUUCAAGAUCAAAAAUUCCUCGACAUCGACCUUACGGACUUCUUCAGCCAUUACCUAUACCAGAACAACCAUGGUCUUCUGUUUCUAUGGAUUUCAUCACAGAUCUUCCAAACUCAAGAUCUUAUGAUUCUAUAUUUGUGAUAGUAGAUCGUUUCACCAAGAUGGCACAUUUUAUGCCAUGUACAAAAUCUAUCACAGGUGAAGAAACAGCUAAGCUUUUCAUUGAUAAUAUCUAUCGCUAUCAUGGAUUGCCUAAAGAUAUCAUAUCGGAUAGGGGAACUCAAUUUGUGUCGAGAUUCUGGAGGACUCUUUUCAAGAUUUUAAAAGUGGACAUAAAGCUAUCUUCAGCUUUCCAUCCUCAAACUGAUGGACAAACAGAGCGCGUAAACCAAGUCUUGGAACAGUAUUUAAGGUGUACCAUCAACUACCAACAAGAUGAUUGGACAAACCUUCUGCCAUUGGCAGAGUUUGCUUAUAAUAAUACGGUACAUUCCUCCACGCAACAAACACCUUUCUUUGCCAAUUAUGGCUAUCAUCCACGACUUGAUACUUUUGAUUUUUCAAAAGUUGAUAAUCCUGCAGCAGAAGAUAUGGCAAAUCGGUUGUCAGAGUUACAUACAAUAAUGAAGGCGCAGUUGAAGAAAGCUCAAGAACGACAAAAGAUAAAUGUAGAUGUAUAUCGUAAAGAGCAACCACAACUCAACGUGGGUGAUAAGGUAUGGCUACUUCAUCGCAAUAUCAAGACCACUCGACCUUGUGACAAAUUGGACUAUCGUAGGCUUGGCCCCUUUUCUGUUUCUGAACAGAUCAACCCAGUUGCAUAUCGGUUACAUCUACCAGAGUCAAUGAAGAUCCAUCCUGUAUUCCACGUGUCUCUUCUUGAACCAUAUAAGACAGUGGAUAUACAAGGAAGAAGACAAAUGCCACCGCCUCCUAUAGAAGUAGAUAAUAAUGAAGAAUUUGAGGUGGAAGAGAUAUUAGACUCAAGGCGGCGCCGAAAUAAGCUGGAAUAUCUUGUUCAUUGGUGCGGAUAUGAUAUUAGUGAGCGCACAUGGGAGCCAUCCAGGAAUCUAGCAAAUGCAUCAGCUAAAGUCAAAGUUUUUCAUCAACGACAUCCAUCAAAACCAAGAUGAAAACCUCUCUUAUAAAAGAGACAAGAUUGAGGCAAGAUAACAUUCAAUUUCCUAUCCUUGUUUGUAACUUCUUUGCAUUUUGUGACGCUAAUUAGAUGGAGAGCCAACAACCAGCGGAUUCAACUCAAGAACCUUCGUUUGCUGACUUACCGGAUGAGACAUUGCGAUUGUCACAACCUUCAAGACGACGCAACCGAGAUGAAGACCCUCAAGAACGACAUGUUCUUCCUCGAAUAGAUGGUGAAAUACAACGCGUUUGGUAUCACGACCUUGGAAGAGAUUCUCGAUGUUUGGUGAUAUUAUUGGAGAUAGGAACGACUACUGAUGGUGUUUCAAAUGUAUUAUUUGAAGGAAGUUAUGAAGGCCUCAACAGUGAUCAAAUAACAGGGUGGUCUUCUCGCCCUGGAAUGGGACACUAUCGAUGGCUAAGAGGACCCAUCAACUAUCUUCGAAGAGAACAAAGAUCAGAGUAUGUAGCAAAUACAAUUCGCCGCAUAUUAGAUUUUCUCAAUAUAUAAUCACCGCUCCUCGUGGAACUCGUCCCUAGAAGGGGGGGUAAUGUCACGGACAUACAUAUAAUUACCUAUAUGAAUAGAUAAAAGUAUGUAAAAGUAGGUUAAUUGUGUAAUAUCUUCUAGAAAAGCUUCUUAGAAGCUUCAUAGACGCUGCUUUGACUUUAUAGGAGUCUAUAGUUGACUUUUAGGUUAGAAACUUGGUCAACAAGUUAGCCAUGUGCCACGCAUGUUGGAAGCUUAAAGAACAAGCUAACUACGUGGUCCAUCCAUAGAAAACUUGCCUUGCAAGCAAAGGCAUGUGGCCUAGAAAGUCAACAUAUACUGGAGGUCUUAUAGAACAUCGCCACGUGGCUUCUAGUUAGAUAGUAUAUAUAGAGGCAAGAGUGAAGCCCUCUUCACUCUUGUCAACUCCUUUCUUGCUUCUAGUCUAGUUUCAAGGGUCUCUAGUUUUCUUGUAUUUUGACAAUAGCCAUUCCAGUUUCUUUCUUAAUAUACAUAUUUCUAUUUUGUCCUAUUUCUUUUUGAGAAAAGUCUCACUUACUCUUUAGCUUUCAUCGAGUUCUUGUCCUUGACACAAAGUGCGCCAUUUUUGUAAGCCGAUCUACCACAACAAAGAUGCUGUCAAAUGAGUUCGAUGAUGGCAGGUCCGUGAUGAAGUCCAUGGAAAUUGAAGACUAUGGUCGCUGUGGAAUCGGCAAUGGCUGUAGGAGUCCAUAAGGGCGAUGCCGAGGAUUCUUAGAUCUUGAACAGAUGUCACAGGAGAGGACAAAAUCUUUCACAUCCUUCCACAUUUUGGGCCACCAAAAAUCUCGAGAAAUAAGCUCCAAGGUCUUGUUGAAUCCAAAAUGUCCCGCAGCUGGAAAAUCGUGGCGAGAUUGAAGAACUCAGAGUUGUGCUGGUCCUUUUGGGAUAUAUAACCGCUCCUCAAAGUAUAAAAGAUCUCCCUCCACCUUGAACUUGUUGUCAUUGGCACGCUGCUUAAUAUCAAUGGCUACUGAAUCUUCAAUGGUCACGGCAUGUACCUGAUUCAAGAAGUCAGCAUCAAUUGGUACAAUAGUAGCGCAAAGCUGAAAUUGCUCUAGCUUCAACAAUGUCAUAUAUUGUUGAUCAAACGUUGCUUCUCCAGCCUUUGGUACAAGAUACGAUCUCCUCGAUAAAGCAUCAGAUAGUCCUUAUUGCUUUCUAGGUCGAUAAGUGAUAACAAAAUCGAACCUAGAUAGCAACAUACUCCACCGAGCUUGACGUCGAUUUAGAACUCGAGCCGACAUGAAAUACUCCAAAUUCUUGUGAUCUGUGUAUACGAUCACUGGAUGUGCAGCUCCUUCAAGAAAGUGACGCCAUUCUUGGAAAGAAUCCACUAUAGCAAGAAGUUCCUUAUCGUAGAUCUCAUAAUUGAUUUCAGCAGUAGAGAACUUUCGAAAAUAGAAUGCAACCAGAUAGAGCUUCUUGUCUUCUCCCAUUUGUGAAAGUACAGCUCUUAAAGCAAAAUCCGAAGCAUCAAUUUCUAAAUAAAAGGCCUUUGUAAAGUCUGGAUGUACUAAGAUUGGAGCCGUAGUAAAUGCGGUCUUCAAGUCUUGAAACGCCUUCUCUGCUAGAGGUCCUCAUUCCAACUUAUCCUUGCAUGUUAACCGAGUAAGAGGAGCAGCAAUUUGAGAGUAAUUCUUGAUAAAGAUCCGAUAGAAGUUAGCAAAACUAAGAAAGCAUUGUACGUCUCUAACCGUCUUUGGAACCUCCCAGGACACGAUUGCUUCCACUUUCUUGGGGUCCAUCUUCAAGCCUUCCGUAGUCGCAACAAACUCCAAAAACUCCAUUUCUAGUUGGUGAAAUAAACACUUCUCCAACUUGGCAUAUAGUCCUCGUUCGCGUAGUUUCUCCAAGACCAAACGAACGUAUUUUUCAUGCUCUUCCUCAUUUUUGGAGAAUAUCAAAAUAUCAUCCAAAUAGAUGACAACAAAAUCAUCAAGGUGCUCUCGAAAAAUGUCAUUCAUCAUAUGUUGAAAGACCGCUGGAGCAUUGAUAAGACCAAAGGGCAUGACAUUAUACUCAAAAUGGCCAUACCUUGUACGGAACGAUGUCUUCCACUCAUCUCCUUCCUUGAUUCGUACGAGGUUGUAAGCUCCCUUUAGAUCAAUUUUUGUAAAGAUCCUUGUAUGUCCAAGUUGUUCUAAGAGACCAGAAAUCAAGGGUAACGGAUAAUGAUUCUUCUUUGUUACCUUGUUGAGGCCUCGAUAGUCCAUGCACAUCCACAAUGAGCCAUCUUUCUUCUUCACAAAUAAGAUGGGUGCUCCAGCUGACGAUUUUGAAUAGCGGAUGAAGUUCUUGGCUAGAUUCUCGUCGAUGUACUUCCGCAAUUCCGCCAACUCUGUCUGCGAUAGAUUGUAGAUUGGGCCAAAAGGCAGUUGUGCUCCUUCCUGUUAGUCUAUGGUGCAAUCAUAUGGUCUGUGGUCCGGUAGCAUGUCGGUAUUUUUCUUUUGAAACACGUCUUUAAAAUCCUUAUAUUGCUCCGGUAUACUUGCUGUCGAGAUCUUCUCCUUGGUAGUUGGAGUCGCAUAAAUGACAAACGGUGUGCCUUCCUUGGACGAUCUUAUAAAUGCUCUUGCUCCAAUAAAUAAGGAAUUCUCUAUUUGGGGUUUUCUACUAGGCUUGCUCUUGGGUGGUUUUGUGAGAAAGGUCAUCUUCCACAACUUCCAAUCUAUGGAUGGGUUAUGCUUUUCCAACUAGGAAAGACCAAGAAUAACAAGAUUUGAUGGGGUUUUAAUAAUAUUGAAAAUAAUAUGAAUACUAUGGCCCUUAAACAUCACUUCUAUAGGUUUUGAUUCAUGGGUGACACUACCGGACAAUAAAGAUCGUCCAUCUAUGACCUCAACGUGAACAGGUUUGGAUUUUUGUACUAAAGGGAUCUUAUGAUGCUUCGCAAAUUCUUUGUCUAAGAAACAAGCAGAUGCUCUUGAAUCUAAUAAUGCUAAGGUUCUCAGUUUCUGAGGGCCAAUAAGCAAAGGAAUUGUAAAACAAAGGGCAGGUUGAGCGGAAAGAAAGGAACCUGGUUGUUGUUGCGAUAUUUUAGUGUCCAGCCGCUGUCGUGUUGUAACACGAGUAUACAGUGAAAAUAAAAAGAAAGGGGAAUUUUAUUAAUAUUCAGUUACCUCGAAUAUUGGGAGCAUCGACCAACUCCAGUACAAAUACUCAGUGGUCAGGUUCAGUCACCCCGUUACAGUCAGCCGGGGCAUACUGAAAUGCUCCGUUCGAUUCUAAUAACGGGAGUUAGGAGGAUGAAAAGGACCAAUUCACACGACGGGUUUGAAGAGCCAAUUGGAUCCAAUUUCGAGAAUCCAAUCCGGGUCCUCUUAUCCAAUAUGAGACCUAUAUUGGUGGGGCAACCCAAUGCAGUCUAGUUAUGGGAAAAUCCAGGUCUUACUACGGGCCUCAGCCAGUCUGACGCGAAGACCAAUUUGACCCAAUUACGUGAGCAUCCAGGUUACUACGGGCAUCUUACCCAAUAUGGGACCUGAAUUGGUCGGGCGACUCAAUGUGGUCCCGAUUACGGGGUUUCGAUUCUGUUUCGGUCUGUCCUGUUCUCUGUGCCGUUUCAAUGAACGUUGUUUACGGUAAAUGGAUCUCUUAAAGGUAAAAACAGAGGAGAAGGCCUUGAUGACGUGAGCCAAUUUCGGAUCUAAGCUCUGACGGCGGGAGCCAAUUUUGGAUCUAAGAUGGAAGAUUGAAGAAGUUCAGAGGAUAAGGUUAGGGGAGAAUAUAGUUUUAGGGAGGGGAGGUUUUUUUUUCUUUCGGGGAAUCGAGGGGGGAGCUAGUUUUCAAGCUUUUGCAAGGUUACCAGUUCGGUUUCAUUGGAGGUUUUUGAAGAUCAAGGGAAUUAGAGAGAGGGGCUUCAUGCUUCGGGUCGGGGAAGGAAAGACAUAGAAUUUGGAUUUUUCUUCUUCGUAGAGUUUUGAGAAGACUGAGGCAAUCGCGGCUGAAGUCAGUGUUGUAAUUGUGAAUCGGGAUUUUUAAAUAAAGUGGGUUUGAAUACUCUUGACUGUUUUGUAAAAUCGAGUUACGUUUGUGAUUGAAGGAUUAAAGGGGUGUCUAUAGGAUUGAGUAUGCGGAGUGAAUGAAAUUUAUUGGGUUAAUCUAACAGGACAGUCAGUGGAUACAAGAUCGUAAGUACAAAGGGGUAUUGAAGAUUAACAGUUUGGGUUGUUCGGGAUUCUCUGUAACGUCUAGAGACCUAUCGGUUGGGAAAAAAAAAAAAAAAAAAAGACUUCGACAAGCAGUCGAAGAGCAUCCGUAUAGAUUUACGGUACAUUGUUGCAGUCGUUUAUAUUCCAGCAGUCAAAAACUGAUAGACUGCUUGACUAUCGGCGAAUCUCCAUACUACCUUCUACAGCCAGACGUCCGGCGCGUUCUCGAGUAGGAAAGCACGUAAUACGACACCGCAUGAUUCCUAUUGUAGCUUGGCAUCCUCGUUUUCCUGAAUAAAUGUGCCCGUAGUCUUGAUAAUACGUCGAUUUUGCUUCUUGGGGCAGUUUCCAACUUUGUGGCCUUCUUCACCGCAAUACAAGCAUAGACCUUCUUCCAUACGCUAUUUUUUUUCUUCUAGAGUAAGAGAUUUGACAAGUACCGCAACAAUUUGCAUGUCUUCUACCUCUGAAUGUGAAUUCACGCUGCUUGCCGACAUAGUUGGGAUGUGGCGAAUCAUAUGUUGUCUUGAACGUUGGUCUUGGCGACGUUGGAAUAGGCGGUUAUCGCACUUCACAGCUUGGCUAAUAGCUUCGUUGAGCGUUUGCGGAUCAGGAAGAGUUAACAGCAAAUCCUUCACAUCGUCCCUAAAAUCCCAAUAGAAUUGACUCAUCAACGCUUCUUCGUCCCAAUUGAUGUCGCAUGCUAAUUGCCUGAAGUCUGAUGCAAAGAUUGAUGUAGAACGCAUCCCUUAUCGUAGUGACCGGAUCUUUGUUGUAGCCCAUUGAACCUUGUCGUGUUCACCAAAUGCUUCCGCAAAUGCCUCCAAAAAGGUUUCAAAGUUAUUUAAUAUGGACGAUCGUUUCUCAAACAAAGGAACAAACCAUGAUAGAGCUUGUCCUGUAAGUAAGGUUCCAACAAGCCCAACACGUGACUCCUUUGUUGGAUAGCGUUCGGGUUUUAAAACUGUUAUCAACCUGAUUUGGUUGACAAAUCCUCGAAACUUGGAACGCGUACCAUCGAACUUGUCCGGAAGGCUAACUCGGGGCUCCUUAUGUUGUAGAACCAGCGGUGCUUGUCGAACCUGAGGCAAAGUUACUUCUCCAAGUGCAGAAGUUUGAGGCUAGUGCAACCUAGAUUGUGCCAUCCCAGAUGUUCCAUCAUUAUGAAGCCUUGCCACGACUCCUUUAAUCUCUGUAGUUCUUUGCGAUAACGUAGCGAGGGCAUUCAUGAUAGCAUCUAACUUGGACUCUGAACUUUCCGUCAUACUAAUGUCUUGAUCCCCGGCCAUUCUAAGAGAAGGACAGAAAUGACUCUACAAGAAGACAAUAUUGGUUUAGAGGAGGGUACUCCGUAACCUCUAAAAUGCCUUAAGAGCUUCAAGAAAAGGGGUAAUCCACUCUCUCCAAGAAGAAUAAGACUCCAAUAUUGUAACAAAAGAAGUAUCAGUUUAGAGGGAGGUAAUCCGCAACCUCUAAAAUACUAGUACACUUCCAAGCAGAGGAGUAAUCCACACUCUAACAAAGAAGAACUAGCUCUGAUAUCUGAGUUGAGUGAAGUCUCGACAAACUGUUAUGGACACAGAAUACAGACUUGAUAUCUACCAAGAAGUUCAAGAAGAACUGGCAAGAACUAGAUUAAUCAAAUGAAUACAAGAACAACACCAGAGAGGUGAGCUAGAGCUCUAAGAGAUGUGUUGUCGAGACUGAAGAACUCUUCAACCUCGAUUCCAAUAUAUACUCCUAUUUAGGAAGCUUCUCAAGCAACUUCUACCAACUAGGAAGCUUCUAAAAGAUUCCAGAGACUUGCUUCUAGAAGGUUCUAGAAACUUAUCUCUAAAAGGUUCUAAGGACUAUGUCUCUAACAUCUUCUAUCAACUAAGAAGCUUCUAGAAGAUUCCAGAGACUUGCUUCUAGAAGGUUCUAGAAGCUUGUCUCUAGAAGGUUCUAGAAACUUGUCUCUAGAAGGUUCUAAGGACUAUGUCCCUAACACUAAGUCUUGGAUCAAGCUUUGACUCACAACAUAUAUUAAACACAUAUAUAUCUAAAAAACUUCAAAAUUUUAUUUAUGGAGCUACUAUCAAACUUACGAAAUUUUCCAAAAAGUAUCUCUUCUUUUAUCUCACAAAUCUAGUAUCACCGAAAACAAACCUUAACUUUGCAAACCUCUUACCAAGUCAAUAAAAAUUUAAAUCACCUCAAAUUAAUGCUUAUUGAGAUCUUAUCAAGUUUGCUUUCUAAUUGUACUCUUUGAUUUACCAAAAAAUACCUAUUUUAUCAUUGAGGCUUAAAUUUGUGCCUUAAGAUCUGAUUUUGACUCUGGUUCAUAAUCAACCUUCUCUGGGUAUCAAUAUCUAAUUUUUCUUAGUAAUUUUUACUAUAAUUUAUUCUUAACUACUUUUUAAAGAUGCUUAUAGUAUUUUUUUUCCAAUCUACUUUGUUUAGCCUUAUUUAUGGUCCUAUAAAGUAAAUAGAAGUUACUUU